CAGCAGGAUGCCCCAUUAGCUAAAGUGGUGCUUCAGGUUAAGAACAGUUUCAGGUUAAGAACGGACCUCCGGAACGAAUUAAGUACGUAACCAGAGGUACCACUGUAUCACAAAUCUAGAAUGAAAGCAGUAUGUAAAGAAUAAACAAGAAUGAUUCUGGAUUCGGGGUAAACCCCUACAUUUUGUGCUACAAGUGGGCUGGUGUGUACCUAGCUGCAGUCAAAUAAAGUUUAGUGGAUCUAAAACAUCUGACAAAUACUUUACACAUUCUUCACUUUCCUCAGCGUUCAGGAAUUCAGUAUAGCGCUAUGGCAAUCAUUCCAUUAGUGCAAGCAUUUCAGAUUACCAGAGAGAACAAUUCCCUCUCCUCCUGCUGUGUGCUGUUUUGAGGGUUCUUCCAACCCCACUAGUGUAAGCUUCCACUAGUGGGAUUUGUUGAAUCUGGCCCAAGGCAUUUCAUCCAAUUUAGUUUUUGCACUUCAAAACUUCCUCCCUUCUGUAUGUCCCCUAAAUAUGUUCCAGUGAUUUCCCCAGAUCUCUGGAACAGAACUGAGGAGGGCAUGGGGUGCACAUGGGGGAGGAGAGUUUCAUCGCACAAGUUUAAAUCCUUGCAUUGAUGGGACAUGUUAGCUGGAUAGUAAAGGUAAAGGGACCCCUGACCAUUAGGUCCAGUUGCAGACAACUCUGAGGUUGUGGUGCUCAUCUCACUUUAUUGGCAGAGGGAGCCGGCGUACAGCUUCCGGGUCAUGUGGCCAGCAUGACUAAGCCACUUCUGGCAAACCAGAGCAGCGCAUGGAAAUGCCGUUUACCUUCCCGCUGGAGCCAUACCUAUUUAUCUACUUGCACUUUGACGUGCUUUCGAACUGCUAGGUUGGCAGGAGCAGGGGCCAAGCAAUGGGAGCUCACCCCGUCACAUGAAUUCGAACUGCCGAUUUUCUGAUUGGCAAGUCCUAGGCUCUGUGGUUUAACCCACAGCGCCACCCGCGUUCCAUAUUACAAGGUAUUUCUUAUUCUUACAGUCUUAUGAUGACUUACUUGCACAUGUCACCAAACCAUUGUAGAUCUAAAAUCACAGAUGGAAUUUUUAUAUUACCUUACGUUGCCCCAAAUGACAACACUUUUCAACUAAGCCAGUUCUCAUUCAGCUACCAGACAUCAGUUACUGAGAAAUUUAUAUGUGUGUGUGAACCAGCACUUCUUACAAGAACACACAUUGUUGUGAGUUGGGGCUUAAACAUAGAAACAUGGCUUACUGAAGUGUGGAUUAGUGUUACUUUAUCAUGGCCUACUAAUAAGCUGAAAUUAAAUAUAUAUCUAGCAAUGCAGGGAUCUUCCCAACACUUAUGCAAUACUGAGCUGAAUGAAAGUGAUAAUGCUCUUUUAAUGCAAAUAUAAUAGAAUAUUCUGUUCUCCCCGUAGGUAAAGGAAGACAAUGUUUGAUAUUUUCACAGUAGAUAGAAUUAAAGUAAUCUUAUUUAUUUUCAGACAGGAGGGCCUUCCCCGCCCUGCAAAAAAUGUAUGAAGAGAUAAAAUUAAAUGGUAAUAAAGACUGUCAUCCCUUAAGUACAUUUUUAUCAGACUCUUUGCUCGUUCUUUUUUUUACCGGUUUCUUGACACAACAGUGUUAAACUAAACACUUGCCAGAUUAUGAUAAUGCCCUGCAUUUUUGUAGCUCUGCUAUCUGAUUUGAAAAGCUUCUUUCUGCCUAAAUGCACUUGAAGUUGGUGCUUUUAUAAAAACAGAAUAAAGUCUGGGGUUAAUAAGCCUUCUUUGAACCGUUUAACGGUAUCUUCACAACACCCUAUUGUUGAAUAUAAAAAUAUAUUCACAGCACUGAAGGCUGAUUUAAUUAAUUUGUCUAAUUAACAAAAGGGAAAUUAACGUUAUUUCUUGGCUGUUCCAUUGUUUAGCAUUAGCAGAAGCAAAUGUCAGCUGAAUUACAUAUGAGCUAUGACUGCUGCUUCUCCAGAACAUAAGGUUAUCUCAGUGUUGUUUUAGUGGUACAUGAAAUUUGAUGUCUCUGACAAUUCCAGGCCAGCAGCCCAUGUGAUUCUAUAAUUACUUUUGCCACUUUCCUUUGGUGUAGUCAUUCAUUAUGAAGCCGUGCUUAUCUUGUCAUACCUCCAUGUCAUUAGCAAUGCUCUAAUGCAUUAGUGACCAAACGCAGGUUUCACGGGCAGUGAUUAGAGCCACCAUGCUGCCAGCCAAGUGAGUGAUGCUUGAAAUAUCAGAAUUGUUCUGCUAAUUUCCAUCAAAAUAAUAACAGCAAGAUGUCAGCAUAGAGAACUGAUCUUGCUCAAGGAACGUGUCUGCAGACGGUAUUGAUAUUGACAUUGCAAUGUCCGGCUUCUAGUACAGCUGAAAAGAACAAACAGCCCAUUGCUUUUUCUCUUCUACAUAUAACCUCACACCUUUAUCUAAAAAUAGUCUUACACAGCUGUGGAUGCUAUCUAAUAUAGAAGCUAAGAUGACAAUAUAAUUUGUUAUAGUUUCCUUAGGUCAAUGAGUUUUUAACUGAAAGUUACAUGCCUCAGUGGAAAAUCAAACUAUUUUCUUCAUUCACACACCUGCUAGGUUGGUAUUGUUAUGUUGUUCGGGCACUGGUUUGAGGGCAGCUGAUGGCAUAGCAUUGUUGAAUCUGAACAGGUGUAGGUUUAAUGAGUGCUUGUAUGUGAGAGAUCACUCUGAGCAGUGAUCUCUGGGUGGAAAACCACAGGGAUCCCCAUCUUACCAGCUGUCUAAAGGAACAAUGGGAUGCAACAAACAAACAUUGUCGGCUGUUUCCCCAAUCCAGUAAUUGUUUAUGGAUUUGGGAGCUCUGAUGUGUCACUGGAGAUUAUGAUGAUGAUGACACUGAUAGUGGAACCUGUUAAGUGUACAUGGUGUUAUACAUCCUUUCAAUUAAAAAGAAGACAGGAGGAAAUAGUUCCCCUGUUCAUUUCAGUGGAGGGAACCUGAUUCACAAAUGCAAAUCAUCACCACCAUUAUCAAAUUAAGGACUCCUAUAUUCAUAAUAUUCUAAUGUCAUUUGUUGAAAGGAAACUAGGCUGCAACCCUACAUAUACACUUACCCGAGGUAAGUUCCACUAAACGCACUGGGGCAUUUAUCUGAGCAGAAGUGUAUAGACUGCACAGUUAGCAAUGUAAGAGAAACUCUCUUAAUAUCCAGUGUGUUGAUACAUCAUUGCAUGUAGUAUUAUUAUUUAGAAGACAUCUGAAGGCAGCCCUGUUUAGGGAAGCUUUUAAUGUUUAAUAGACUAUUGCACCACAUGUUCUAACCCAGGGGUAGGCAACCUAAGGCCCGGGGGCUGGAUGCGGCCCAAUCACCUUCUCAAUCCGGCCCAUAGCUGUCAACUUUUCCCUUUUCUUGUGAAGAAUCCUAUUCAGAAUAAGGGAAUUUCCCUUAAAAAAGGGAAAACGUUGACAGCUAUGAUCCGGCCCGCAGACAGUCCAGGAAUCAGCUUGUUUUUACAUGAGUAGAAUGUGCCCUUUUAUUUAAAAUGCAUCUCUGGGUUAUUUGUGGGGCAUAGGAAUUCGUUCACCCCCCCCCCCAAAUAGUCUGGUCCCACCACAUGGUCUGAGGGACGCUGGACCAGCCCAUGGCUGAAAAAGGUUGCUGACCCCUGUUCUAACAUCUCCCUGUACAAGAGUUGCUCAAACCCCUUGGUCAUUUUGGUUGCGCUUUUCUGUAUCUCCACUUCCCCAGUAUGCACAAGAACUUCACACAGGAUUCCAACGUGAUUUCGUUUAUUUAUUUAAAGCAUUUCCACCCCAGAGGGGCUUUCAAAGUGGCCUGGAUAAGAGCAUUAAAAAACUAGUCACCUGCUGGCGUAUAUAUAAUCCAAGAGAUGACAGAAAAGGAAAAAGCAAUGAAGAGGGGAGAGGAAAACAAGAAAAAACGCACAUGUAAAAUGCUAGACUAGGUGGGCCUUUGGUCUGAUCUAAUCGGACUCUUACAUUUUCUGUUGGAAGCCACCUUAGCUGAAAUGAGGCAUUCAAUCCAGAACUCCACGUUUGUCCAUUGCUCUCACUUUCACCUCUGAAACAUCAUCCAGCUUUGUACAGUUUCUGACGCAAGGCCUGAGAAGAGGCUUCCCCCCCACUCCUGUGUUCAGACCAGCAUUACGGAAAGUAGAAAAGCCCUCAGCAGUCCUGCUUUCCUAAUGUGCAACGUCAGCCUCCCAUACAGAAGGAAUAAUUUAGGAAUGGAUUAACUUAACAGAAGAUACACAAAGUUGCAUAAUUAAACAAACACAGAGUGCAUAAUUUAUGCACCUAAAUAAAUGCUGCUGAAUUGCAUUCUUUUGUCCUUAAUGCAUUUCCCCUUAUUGUUAUAAUAGAAAUUCAGUUGAUGUAGUACAAUAUGUGGAUAAUAUAAUUACAUUGCGUAAGAUACCUUUUAUGGGGAUGUGUUUUCGUUUGUAAGCAAUACAUGAAAAACAGAGCAGAAUCCACCUUCCAUUAUCUAUAUUUUAUCUAUACUCACCAAUACCUGCAUUUCCUUCCAAACAUCAUAUUUCCUGCUCCUCUACAGCUAUCUCACCCUCUUCAGUCUCUCUCUGUUUUCUUGCGGAAAAAAGAAGUGUGGGGUGAGAUUAUCCCACAGCUGUAUUCUGUAGAGAGCCUAUCACAGGGGUGGGGAACCUGUGGCCCUCCAGAUGUUGUACUGCAACUCCCAUCAUCCCCAGUCAGCAUGGCCAGUGGUCAGGAAUGAUGGGAGCUGUGGUCCAAAGGCAUCUAGGGUGCCAAUUGCUCCUCAUCCCUUGUUCCCUUCUCUCUGUCUCUUUCUACAGGCUGAACUGUUCAGCCUAGCCAUUUUUGUCACUUGUGGGUGUUGAGGUGGAACUAGCUUUGGGGCUUAUUCAAGUGUGUACGACUUGGUUUUCCUCCCCUUCACUUCCCUGGUCAGGUUGUGAGACUAAGUGUGUUAGAAGAGGCAGCAAAGAGUCCGACAUUCUCCCUACUAGUAAACAAAAGCCAUCUUGCUAUCAGGCUCAGAUGAAUGCUUACUCUACAUCCUCACUUCUAUUUGCAUUUGUUUAAGGGGAAAAACAAGAGACACAGAUGGCGCUGUGGGUUAAACCACAGAGCCUAGGACUUGCCAAUCAGAAGGUCGGUGGUUCGAAUCCCCGCGAUGGAGUGAGCUCCCGUUGCUCGGUCCCUGCUCCUGCCAACCUAGCAGUUCGAAAGCACGUCAAAAUGCAAGUAGAUAAAUAGGUACUGCUCUGGCAGGAAGGUAAACAGCAUUUCCGUGCGCUGCUCUGGUUUGCCAGAAGCGGCUUAGUCAUGCUGGCCACAUGACCCGGAAGCUGUACACCGGCUCCCUUGGCCUAUCUUGGCCUAUAGAGUGAAAUGAGCGUGCAACCCCAGAGUCAGCCACGACUGGACCUAAUGGUCAGGGGUCCCUUUACCUUUACCUAAGGGGAAAAACACUUCAGACAACGACAUUUGUCCAUAAACUACAGAACUGUUAUGGAUUGUGGCUCAAGUUGUGUGAAUGCGGCUUCAAAAACGAGCAGUGGUAGCCCAGUCUUUACUGAAGGCAGUAAGCCAGCCGAGGAGGUCAGGACACACUAUGUUUUAUAUGUUGUGAACUGCCCUGAGAUCUUUGGAUGAAAGGUGGUAUAUGAAGUAAAUAAACACUAUCAAGCUUCAGUGGCUCUGCAAUAAGCAUCAGCCUGGCAGCAUUCAUCAAUGGGAACAGAACAACCCAGUGGCCGAAAUGCUAUGGCAAGAUCUGGUGGGAUGAGCAGCUUAGGAUGUCCCUCCCAUCAGAUGUCAAAGAGAUAAACAACUACCUGACAUUUAGAAGACAACUGAAGGCAGCCCUGUUCAGGGAAGUUUUUAAUGUGUGAUAUUUUAAUGUAUUUUUAAUCUUUGUUGGAAGCCACCCAGAGUGGCUGGGGAAACCCAGCCAGAUGGGUGGGGUACAAAUAAUAAAUUAUUAUUACAUUAUUAUUAUGGGAUGCAGCCGCUCUCUGGUGGAGCCAGGCGGUUCUCGUCUCAGCCAGUGUUAAGUUUCCAACCCCGGCUCAUAUGAAGAUAUGCCAGCGUUACUUGUUCACCCUGGCUCAGCCAGGCUCAGUUGCGUUAAGUUGUGGGUGAACAUAUCAGACGACACAGCGAUUUUUCAAACAGCUCUUCUUUAUUCAGAGGCCACAACAGAACUGAACUGAAGGGCUCAGUCAGCGUGCUUAUAUAGAGCUCCAGUACCUUGUUACUGUAACAACUUUCUAAAACUAUCCAAUCACUGAACAUCACUUUCGAUCCUUCAUUUGCAUACAAUCUAUCCAAUCACUGAACAUCACUUUCGAUCCUUCAUUUGCAUAACUAUCUACAGUAUCCCCCUGCUGGCCCAGGGUGAGAACUUCAGUACAUAACAAGUUGGCUGGGCCAAGGCCUGCAAACAUCCUCCCAAAGGGCUGUUCUGGGGGCAUGGCGGAGGCGGGACCAGUAAGGUGUACUCAGGCUGGAUCCUAAAUCUGUUCAGCUCUGUCUCAUGAUCUGGCAAAGAGGAUUGUGUAAGUCAAACCCUAUUUUAAAGGCUUGUUCUCUCUUUGGCAGGCUUGGGCAGACACAGCCAGCAGUAGCCUUGCUCCUGAAUGGGGUUUGACUCUGGCAUAUUUGUACUGUUGUUGUUGUUGUUAUUGUUGUUGUUGUUGUUGUUGUUACGCUGGCUUAGCUUAUGCUAGCUUGCUUUGUGACAGCUUCUUGUGCGUAGAGUUACUCACUAUGUAGUGAUGAGGAGCACUGAGAGUUUUUUUUUAAAAAAAUGGCAGCCCCCCACAGUCUAGGAAACAAGGUACAGUAAACUAUAACUCUUCCACUUCCCACAAUCCAACACUUCACAUGACCCACUCCUUAGCUAAGCCAUCCUUCACUUGUGAAACUUCCUUUUUGGCUCCGUGUGGCAAUUGGUACAUUUCCAGGUACUAGCAAGAAUGUAAAUAUGGUAUGAAUCAACUUUUUCCACAUUUUCUUUUGCAGCCCUUUUAUGAAGAACAGAUUUUCCACAGAGGAAAUUAAAAAGUACAUAAAACUGAGAAACUGUGGUGUUGUUGAGAACUGCAUCAACUUUCAGUGUCAAUAACUGGCGGUCUGCACUGUAGUCAAAUGGUCUUGCUCUUCAGCACAAGCUUCUCUCUUUUCUUCUUCAUUUAGCUUCAGUUUUAUUUGAGAAGCAAUUAUCGUGGAUCCCUGAAAUAACUUUUCCCCAAAGAGAUGUGUAUCAUUAUGAUGAAAAUCUUUUAUGUCGGUUCUUUAAAUUGCGCUUCCUCGUAAAAACGGCUAAACAUUGAUUUAAUAAAUACACUUGAUUUGUGUAUAUUGUUUAAAUUAAAAAAAGGCACAGCAAAACUUUGGUUUCCUGUAUGGACACUGUAAAAUUGUGGAAGGGGUUUUUUGUUUCUGUUAAAUCUGCAGUCAGAAGGAUCUUUUCAUUUUAACUUGACUCCCCCCACCCGCCUCCCCAACAACAACAACCAAAAGCAAUACUUGCAAUAGCAUUUGGUUCAUAUUUCUUUCUUGGAUGGCAUUCUUUUGAGUGAUUUCUAAAAUAAUCUUCUCUCUCAGUGCAUCUGUAAACAUCUGAAAAGAUGAUAUUUGAUUAAGGGCAAUUGCUAUGGACAGCUUGUGGGGGGGGGACCCACCCCACCCCCAAACUUCAGGCAAAAUGGUUGUUGGAUUGCUAUCCAAAUGUAAACCACAUGGAGGCCAGAUGUUGUAAAUAUGCAUUCAGACAAACAUCCAUUGAUAGUUUGGAAUAGUAGAUGCAGUUCCUCCAGUUAACGGCACUUUUCUACAUGACAUGCCCUUCUGAUGUGCCUUUGUGUUUGCAGUGCUGAAGCUAAGUAUUUGUACAUGUUACAGUUCCUUUCUUUUCUGCCCGGACACACCAGCAGCAGAACCUUUUUAUCGCCAGCGUCUCAAGUGAAUUUCUUAACAGCAGAUGAGUAGGAAUCCAUCGACGUAGCAUGUGUUUUGUUCUCUUUAUUUCUCCCCCAGGACAGGCGGUUUCAGGUCAGCCCCCAUUUCUGAGCCUGAAGCCAUCCAGGGUGGGGAUAUAUUAUUCGCCUUGUUCUGAAGGGCAGCUUUCUCCUGCUGACGGUGGUGAUCACAUAAAUACCUCCAGGCCAGUGUAUCUGAGUCAUCGGUGAAUGACCUCACUGACAACCUGAAACCACAAAAUGCAGCUUAUGAAGCUCUUGCUAAAGCAGCCUCGCCAGAUGGAAGCACAACAGUGUCAAUAAACAAAAAUGAGCACGGUCGUUCAGACCCAAGCUUAAAAUUUCCACAAGAGCAUGAAACUAAUUCCAAAGAAUAAUGGUGGCAUAAACCUCCUUGAGGAAUGUCCACAAUGCUAUUACCUGAAGCACUUUUCAAUAAAACCCCAGGUACUUAAUAGAGUUUGCUCUUCAGCGCUCUUUCAUCUUUUAAUCUGUAAUAAUAAUGGCAAGGAACAAUGAAGGAUUUAAGAAGCAAAUACGUUUUUGCACUAUUUCAUUGGCAGGCGAAGGCCACAGGGACUUUACGAGCUCUUUUCUUGCAUGUUCUAAAAUGUUAGAACUCCACAGGAACAAGGAUCCCCACCCUAGAUUCUUCUGAAACCUGCGUUAAUUUAAUUCCUGAAAUGCCAAGCAGUUGGCUAUCACCUGAUUAAUCUCACAUUCAAAACAAUGGUCAGAGAGCUAUGUGUAUGUAUAUUUACGGAAUUUACUUUCGGUCCAGGGAACUGGUUGAAACAUCGUUAAGAGAACAUUAUGUUUCACUGGAGACUGGAGACAGAUCUGGGCAAAAAUUUAUCUACCACUUGUUUGUACUGAGACCUCUAAGCUGUUUACAAGAUCUAUUGAAAUGGUCAAUAAAAAUAGCUAAAAAUAGUUUAAAAGGUUCUUACCUUCAUUAGUACAAACGCCAGUUCAGCUGGAGGUGGGAGGCCUUUUAAGAAUCAUAAAGGUGAAGGUCUUUUUUAGGGUAGCUGUUUAGUGAAGACUUUCCCAACCUGGUUCCCUACAGAUGGUACAGCUCCAAUCAGUCCCCAUCAGCAGAGCUGGAAUGGGCUGGAGUUGAUUGGAGUUGUAAUCCAAAAUAUUUGGAGGCUCCACAAGCAGGAUCUGGGUGCCACAAAGCUCUCCGCACUUGAGUCUCCCCAGAAACCGGGAUUCAGAGGCACACUACCCAAUAUUAAGGAAGCAGUGGGCUUCAAAACACACUGCCACGCUGCUGUCAGGCAAGGCAUGUCCAGCGUGAGGAAUUCACUAUUUAUUGUCAAAUGCACACUUACAAGUUAGGAAAAUGCAUGUCUGUGAGUCCCACGUAUCUCAUGUGCUCCUAUGAGAGAGGGCCAGUGUGGUGUAGUGGUUAAGAGUGGUAGACCCAUAAUCUGGUGAACCAGGUUCGCUUCCCUGCUCCUCCACAUGCAGCUGCUGGGUGACCUUGGGCCAGUCACACUUCUCUGAAGUCUCUCAGCCCCACUCACCUCACAGAGUGUUUAUUGUGGGGGAGGAAGGGAAAGGAGAAUGUUGGCUGCUUUGAAACUCCUUCGGGUAGUGAUAAAGCGGGAUAUAAAAUCCAAACUCUUCUUCUUCUUCUUCAGCAUGACGGGAGACCGGAGUGAUGAAUCCCGGGCGAUGCUGCGUUGGGGGGGAGGCACUGGCCUCAGCGUUCUCACCCAACAAGCCCUAGUUCACACACACACACACACACACACACACACACACACACACAGAGACCUUUACUGCCUGUUUUCCUGCUCCUAAUCCCCACUUGAAUUUGCAUCUCCCCUCCGAUGAAGACCCUCUGUGUGUGUUUGUGUGAGUUAACUCUGCCUCCUGAACCCCAUUGGUGGAGGGGCAAUGCUCUUGUGUCAGCAUGGAAAGGGUUAAGCCCCUCCUUUUGUAUUGCCCAACCUGUUACCUUCUUAACAACAGAAAAAGUCAAUUGGAGUGUCCAAAAGCAACGAUAGUUUUGGAAGCUUUCUUUCCCCACCCACCAAUAAUUUUAAUUAUUUUUUUCCAAAUAUCUUAAGCACAAUACAACUUAACAACAUUAUUCUCCUUUAAAUCUAUAUCUUAUCUGAAUUAACUUCCCUCUACCCCUCUUCUGGCUUCUCCACAUUGCUCUUAAGCGUGUUUACUGUAUAUAAAUUCUAUAAAUGUCUAUAAUUCCUUAAUAAAUUUUUGUAUUAUACUUUAAACAUACAGUCCUUAUUAUAUUACAUCUUAUGGUCUAACCAAAUGUUUACAAUAAACAUUAUGAGUUUUAUUUCAGUCCUGUGAGUGUCUUUAUUUAUGUACAGUUUUCUCUAAGUACAGUGGUACCUCAGGUUAAGAACUUAAUUCGUUCCGGAGGUCCGUUCUUAACCUGAAACUGUUCUUAACCUAAUGGGCUAAUGGGGCCUCCUGCUGCCGCCGCGAGAUUUCUGUUCUCAUCCUGAAGCAAAGUUCUUAACCCGAGGUACUAUUUCUGGGUUAGCGGAGUCUGUAACCUGAAGCAUCUGUAACCUGAAGCGUAUGUAACCCGAGGUACCACUGUAUACCAUAAAUUUGGACCAUUCUUUUUUGGAAUUUCACAUCGUCCUGCUGUCGGAUUCUUCCAGUUAGCCUUGCUAUUUCCGCAUACUCCAAUACUUUCUGUUGCCAUUCUUCAGUUGUCGGAAUAUCCUGUUGUUUCCAUCUCUGUGCGAGGAGUAAUCUUCCUGCUGUUGUGGCAUACAGGAAGAAUAGUUUUGGAAGCUUUCUCACUAUUUUAAAAAAUGUUUUAUUGUUUUUUAAAAAGUACUCACUACACAGAGUUCCUUUUAACACCGUUACACAUUUUAAUGUAUAUUUUGAACCUAAGUAAGCUUUUUUUUAUGUACACCACAGUCUUAGUAGCAUGACACUCUGCUAUAAACUCCUUGCAAAUGAGAUGAGUUACGUGACAGUUAACAUGUAAGCCUCAUUAUUGCAUCAUGCAAUGCAAAUUGCUAAACACGUUUUAAAAAAAUAUUCUGCUGAGCCAUAUUUUAAUGUCACUGUCUCAUUAAAUAUUUGUUUCUUUGGCUCAAUGAACAGCAGAAUCAUAAAGUGCAGCGAUAGCCAAGCUCUUAAGUGUUUCUGAUGCCUAAUGUACACCCUGAUGUUGAAAAAUAAAACCACAGACAUUUAGAACUAAUUAUAUGCAAGCUACGAUAACAGAUUUAUGUUACAAGCAUUGAACUAUGAUCCUGAGCUGUAAUAACACGCUUAAGGGAGAAGGGAGGGGGGGAAUCUUAACAAGACAGAUAGCUCAAGACUGUAAGAGAGAAAACAAGCUUUUGUUUUGAAAUGGUCGUGGCUGUUUAGUUAUUUAUAAAUAGCCUGAACUAGAAGAAAGGGCCGAGAAUUAAAGAUUGAUUGGAGCCUCCUAUGAAAAACUCUGCCUUCAUUUAAAUCUUCUCGCUGAGCUAAAUCUUCAAAGGGGAAGCAAGAUAGCACUUUAAAAACAAGCAAAUAUAUGUUGCCAGCAUUGCUACAUUGCUUUUCUCCCCCCCCCCUUUCUUUAUUACUGCUUAUAAUGAUGCAAUUGGUUUAAAAGCGAGUUUGUGCCUUCAUGGCAGCAUUCACCGACCCAUUCACCUCCAUAAAGUUUGGACUACAACUCCCAUCAGCCCCAGCAAGGUGCUGGUGGAAGCUGAUUUAUGGAUACUUCCAUAUACCCUGGCUGUGAGGCUGACUGUGCUGGAGGCAGGGUAGGGGGUCUACUAUGGAGCGAAUGAAGCAUAAACUUCAGGGCCCCUCAUCCGAGAGGGGGGCUCAGAAGUGAUUUAAGCUAACCUAGAAUGGCAUAAGAAUUUUGAGUCUAGAACACCCCAUCUGAUUAAUUUUUUGUUGCGCAUAGCUCAACAAUCCCAAAGCUUGAGAGUCGGUAACACAGAUGUCAUAAAGGUGGACUGUCGUGGUAACUAUGAGAUAGUCCAAUGCAGCAAUUUUAAUCAAAAUAUGAGAUGUAGUAGUUAUUUAAAAUAAAUAGAUAGAUAGAUAGAGAUCUGUUGUGGAACAACCCCACUGAAGAAAAUAACAGUGGUUACUCAGACCUCGUUGCUGGCUGAGAAAGGGCCCCCAUGUAACAGUUCAAGCUUCAGGGCCCACAAAAUAUAGCUCCACCACUGCUUGGAGGUCUAAGAAGCAAUAUAGCAUGCAGUGUUUAGUGUGUGUCUAAAUCCAGCAUUCUUUACCGUGUCAGAAAACAUUUGUCCUACCCCAAAGGAACUUGGGCUGCCCUAGACACUGGCCAGCUAAGGCUCCUUUGGCACAUUCAGCCAAAGGUUGCAGGAUUAUGGACAGACAAAUCUCUCUCUUUCCAUUUUGUGUCUUUUUAAAACCCAUAAUUGCAUUCUUUUGAGUUGACAUUAACCUGCAAUUAAAAAUAGCAACAACAUUUGCAUUUAAAUAUAAACAUGUAGUUUAUUAUGCAUUUAAAUCCAUGUUUUCUCUGAAAAUGUAUGUUCCCCCUUAAAUAUAUAUAUAUCUAUAUAUCUAUAUAGACAUAGAUAUACUGAGAGAUUAAUAGCAUUACAUUUAUAUCCCAACUUUCCUCCAAGGAGCUCAAAGUGGUGCCCCUUUCAUUUUAUCUUUGCAACCAACCUGUUAAAUAGGUUAGUCUGGGAGACUGUGACUGGCCCAAAGUGACCCAGUGAGCUUCAUGGUCAAGUGGGACUUGAACCCUGAGCUCCCAGGGUCUUAGUCCAAUUCAGUAACUGUUAUGUACUGAAGUUCUCACCCUGGGCCAGCCAGGGGAUACUGUAGAUAGUUUUCACUCAGGUCCACAUAUGCAAAUAAGGGAUUGAAAGUGACAUUCAGUGAUUGGAUAGUUACAGAAAGUGGUUACUGUUGCGUUCUAGUGGAGCUUUAUGUAAGCAGGCUGGCUGAACCCUUCAGUUCAGUUCUGUUCUGGCCUGUGAAUAAACAAGAGCUGUUUGAAGAAUCGCUGUGUCGUCUGAUAUGUUCACCCACAACAUAACACUAACCACUACACCACAUGAGCUCAGAUGUGUUAGUGGACAUGGCUACUGAUUAUAAGUGCAUUGAGUGAGUGUUCUAUGAAAUAGAGUUUGAUGUUUUCUGUAUUGUAUUCUUUAUAGGUUUUGAUGUUUUCUAUGAUGCAUUCAAUUUUUAUUGUUUCACGUAUUAUUUUUUGCUUUUUCUUCGUAAACUACUUUGUGAUCUUUUCUCAUGAAAAGUGGUAUAUAAAUACUUAAAAUAAAUACACAAAAUAAGUAGCAGCAGCAAUAGCAAUAGCAAUAGCAAUAGCAAUAGCAAUAGCAAUAGCAAUAGCACCAAAGAGAAUUUCACAAUUUGUAAGGCCCUCCUACAUCCACACUACGAAGCUACAGGAAAGGGGGUGGGAGGAAAGGUUCUGCAUUGAGUAUUCAGAAAUCCUUUUGCUCUCAGUUAAGUAAAUUAAACUAACUGAUUAAUCAUUCUUUGGGAACAAUCCAGUUAAUGAAUGCUAAGCUUAAUAAUUAUUUCUGAACACAGUUAUAACAGGCAGGAUAAUAAACAAAGUGUGAUUCUGUCUCCUUAUUAAUCUAACAUGUAAUUUACUAAGCACUUCCGCUGAAGCGUCAUUGAAAUGAGGAAUUGGUUUUCGUAUUGGUGGAAAUCCCCUAAAUUAUUAUUGUGUUUUCAGGAAGAUGGACUUUGCAGAUGGAGGGAAGUAGCUGGAAUGAUGAAGCUCACAGCAUGGGAGUGUGACAGGGCCAUAAGGGAGGAUAAAGUUGAAAGUGGGGGCCGAAGGAGAUGGUACAUGAAAAGCAGAAUUGCAUUUAACAUAUAUGGGUUUUAAGGGUUAAAUAGGAGCUGUAGGGGUGGAGGACUGAUCUGGGUCCUGUUCAUGGGGUGCAAAGAGAGGGGCUUUAACUCUUUCCCCUCCCACCGGUUUCAUCCUGAAAAUUGCAUUGAAGUUGUUGUUCCAUUCAGGAGGAGACACUGGUAUUGAGGCUGGUGCAGAAUGGGUUUAGACAGCUGCUGAGUGGGAUUUUUUUGGGGGGAGGGGGGAAUCACCCUGAAUUUGGAGUUCCUUUUUUCCCACUUACUUUGCUCUGAAUUUGAUGGUGGGAUAGAGCUAAAUCUGUCUGGUUGGUUUAUUUGGUAUUAAGUGCAGGCAGGUUUAGACAAGGGCCAGCACCCUGAGGUAUGCUGGGUUGAAGACACUGCACACACACACCCUGUUGUCAAUUGAAAAUAAUAAUAAUAAUAAUAAUAAUAAUAAUAAUAAUAUUGUUGUUGUUUAGUUGUGUCUGACUCUUCGUGACCCCAUGGACCAGAGCACGCCAGGCACUCCUGUCUUCCACUGCUUCCCGCAGUUUGGUCAAACUCAUGUUCAUAGCUUCGAGGACACUGUCCAACCAUCUCAUCCUCUGUCGUCCCCUUCUCCUUGUGCCCAGCCACUCUGGGCAGCUUCCAACUGAAUAUUAAAAACAAUACAGCAUCAGACAUUAAAAACUUCCCUAAACAGGGUCACCUUCAGUUGUCUUUUAAAAGUAAAAUUGUUGUUUAUUGCCUUGACAUCCGCUGGGAGGGCAUUCCACAGGGCAGGCGGCACUACCGAGAAGGCCCUCUGCCUGGUUCCCUGUAACCUCACUUCUCGCAGCGGGAGAACCGCCAGAAGGCCCUUGGCGCUGGACCUCAGUGUCUGGGCUGGAUGAUGGGGGUGGAGACGCUCCUUCAGGUAUACAGGACCAAGGCCGUUUAGGGCUUUAAAGGUCAGCACCAACACUUUGAAUUCUGCUUGGAAAUGCACUAGGAGCCAAUGAAGAUCUUUCAGGACUGGUGUUAUAUGGUCUCGGCGGCCGCUCCCAGUCACUAGUCUAGCUACUUGGUGUGGUGCUCUUGGGAACUGGCACAUGCCACUUGCUGAACAGCAGGGGUAGCUGGCACCCGCCAGGUCAUACACCUAUAACUUCCACUUGUGGAAAGAUGGUUUCACCAUCCAUCAUCGUAGCUUCUGUAAGGAAGUUUCUCUGGGGCAGUUUUCCCCGCUACAAGAGGCACGGGAUUUUCUGCCUGCUAGCCUAGGUUAUGUCUGCUCACACUUUGCUUUGACAGAGAUUUCCCUUGUUAUACGUCAACAGACACAACCUUUAACCGUAUCCAUGUGUCAAAUCUUCAUUCCCAGUGUAGGACAAAGACAUCCAACCCAGAGCCGGGGUCCCUCUUAUGUAAAACCACAUGAGCUAAGAGGUAAGUUAGUUUUCCACCCGCCAAUACAUUUUAGGCACCAACUUUUGCAUGGGCUUCCUUUGGGUUCUCGUAGUGCAAUACUGUAAUUAGAAGAGGAAAAGGAGCCCCUUUGCCCAAAAGGCUUAUAAUUCACGUUAGACUCGCUAGUAACAUUCACAUAAAUAUUUCAGAGUACUUGUAAUUCAGGGUCUUAAGCCUCUUUUACUUCUGUAAGGACAAACAUGGGGCCAUGAGUGGCUCCGGUGACAUUACAAUCCAACCCCUUUGUUGAAGAAUAUUAGCCGGAGCCCUGCUUAAUUCAUCCUGCUGUUUUCUUAUCAUCUCUGAAUAUAUAUUUAAAAUAAUUUUAAAUUAUUGAUUAAAGGACAAAAAAGUCAUACAGGGCCAGUAGCAUAAGCAGGAUUAAAGUGUCUUUAGCCACACUUGGGAAUAAAAUGUGGCAACCUUCUUUCUUUACUUCAAAAGGGGUGGGGGUGGACAGGGGAUGGUUGAUAAACUUCAAAUAUUUCAAACCUAAUCCCAUCGUUCUUUUUUUCAUUUUUCUGAACAGACAGUGGGGAAACCACGUAACAGUCGCAUGCCUUAUUUAUGACCAGUUCCCCCCCCAAAGUUGUACAAUUAAAAGCCUUGUCAAAGUUUAUAAUUAGAACACAAAACCGUGGGAUAAAGAUACAAGGAGCUGCUUGAGCUCUUUCUUUGUAAAUCUGAAUUCUGACUUAAGCAUUUUCUCAUGUUCAAGAGUUGUGGUGGUUUAAAUUCAUUUACCCUCCUCCCCGGCUUUUUGCCUCCACAGCUUCUGCUGGGCACCAGCUAGAACCCAGACCAUAAUUAUAAUGCAAAACAGCAUCUCUCAGUCUCAUUAAUGCAUUGCAGACCUUAAGUUCCUUGAAGUUCUGAGGAUUUUAAAAUAUUGAUAUUCAUUAAUAGAACGGCUUCCUGCGACAUAAAGGCAUAUUAUGGACUUGAACAUGCUGGAAACAACUAAAAAAAAAAAAAAUGCCAUGUCAGAAGUGUUUACUGUUGUGAAAAAUUGUACCAUGUUAAUAUAUGCCUGUUUCUUAAAUUCUGUUAGCAGUUGUAAGGCAGUCAGAUACCACCCAUGGGACUGUGUGCCCUCAUGAAACACAAUUACAAUGAGAAUAUCUCAUUAUCUCAUUGGCUUUAGCUUACUGUUCUGUUACCAUGGUUUCAAAUACACAGAGGAGUCUGAAACUAAGAGUGCUGCUAACAAAGAACAUAUCCUUGUACAAUGACAUCAGAUCAUGUUAGACAGAAUAGACUUAAUUAAAUACCCCCUGAUGUAGGCCAAAAAUAUAGAAGUUGUGUAUACUUUUCUUUAAAAGAGAUGUGAAUGUUAUUAAAUGCAGCUGGGAAACAAAAAUAUAUAACCAACAACCUCCCCCCGCAAAAAAUGUCCUGUAGUUGUUUAAAAAUAAAUUGUAUAACAACCACUAAGCCACACUGAUUAAGCGAAUGCAGGGGGUGGGGGAGGGGAGGAGGCAAUGGGAUCAAAUAAAAUUAAUGAUAUGCCUUCCCCUGAUUAAUGUCACACAUUAUGUAUGAAAUUUGGGACAUAUUUCUCCUGGUAUUUAGCCACUGGGAUUCAAAAUGGGAGGUCAACCCCAUGACAGAUUCGCUGUGGUCCUACCUCACACAUCAAGACAUGACUGGAUAUUGAAGAUGUCCCCUAUGAAAGAAGAUGGUGUCCUUUUGUCUUUAAAUAUAUCCCUUAAGAAGAAGGAGUGUUUCUUCUCAGUGUUCAAACUCUGGCUUAAUAUCUUAUUGAAAACCAAUUGAAAUGAAAACACUUCAUGUAACAAUGUGCUGGAAUUUGGACCAGAACAUGGGUAAAGAAAGGAAAACUGUGAUAGUGGAUGUAUUUCAUGCCUUUUUUGUUUUCAAGUGCACCCAGUUAACAUGUAGGGUUAAGCAUAGUGGCUGGGGCAACCCAGUCAGAUGGGCGGCAUAUAAAUAAGAAGAAGAAGAAGAAGAAGAAGAAGAAGAAGAAGAAGAAGAAGAAGAAGAAGUCAUCUAGUAGAAGAACAUAGGAAGAUGCCUAAAUCCAAGCCGGACCAUUGGUCCAUCAAAAUCGGUAUAGUCUACACUGACUGGGGCUCUCCAAUCAUUUAAUUUAUACCAAGGAAAUCUGUUUUAACUCACUUGCAGAAAUGCUAAUUUAAGGGGAGGGGGUUUCUGGAGUCAAGGGAAUGCGUCCAAUCUUCAUUGCACAGGUGGUUGCUAAGGCUUUGAAUGACAAUUUUAGGUUAUAUUUUAGUGAUUAAGAUUUAACUUACAUAUUUUUAACUGCUGCUAUAUCUGUAUUGUCCCUGUUAUACCCAACUGCAAAUUCAAAUGUAUCACUAUCGUGUCUUAUGACUUCCGUGAUAUUGUAUGUGAGCUGGAACUGGUCUGUGACUGAAAUUAAUAAAUUCACAGGUGGUUGGUGCCCCUGGGACCUGGGAGGGAGGCCAACCUGGGGGGUGGGGCCAAAGCCCAGGACUGGUGGAGCCAAGCCAGGGCCAAGGACAAACAAGCCAACAUUGCCCCCCCCCUACUCUCCGCUGAGUUCUACAACAGCAAGAUGGAGGGGAAAUAAGCUGACAGGCAGUAACUGUUAAGAUUCCCGCUCUGUGAUUGCAGUCAUAGGAUUGUUGUUUAUCACAUGAUGGUGUAUGUUUUCAUUCCACAGAGUGGAAAGUGACAGAGACAGGAUGUUUUGUGUUACUGUGUUCCGUGAAGUGGGACUAUUGUCCUUUGUUCUCACUUUUUGCACCCUGAUGCUAGAGAGAGGGGGAGCCAUAUUGCAGUGCUCCAUGUGUGUUUAUAUGUAAAUAAAGUAGAUUAGCCAAAAUGCUGAGUUGCUGAGGUCUGUUAUGCAAACUGUGAACACUCUGCGGAUCCCUAAGUGUGCCGGUGUCUGUUGGCAUCAGUCGCUGUGAUGUUCGGGCUAAAGAAAGCUUUUGAAGCUCCCAAACGAAUGGCCAGGAGGGAGAGAACAUGCCAGUCGGGCAUGUGUCUCUGCCAGGGUCCUACUCAAGUGUAGGACGAGCUCCUGACAGUAACCCCCCCUCAAAGAGUGGUUACAAGCAAGAAGGCAGGCAGGUGAGGGCUAGCCGAGGGUGGUGGGGCAGUGGCCCACUUGUCCUAAUGGCGGAGCCUCUACUGCUCCAGGGUGGCAUAGACUGGACAAGUGGGAUUGUCGAGAUAUCCACAAUAGCAAGAGGACAGAGUUCUCCAGCAUUCAGAAUCUCUGGCAUAUCAUAGCACACUAAAGAAUGCAUAAUUCAGCCAAAGUUCUCGUGUGUUUUUGUUUCAUUAAAAAUUCCACAAAUCAUUUAUUUACCCUGGAGGAUAUCAGGUGACAUAAUGUGACAAUAAUGACAUCCCUUGUGGUGUUAAUUGAUUUUGUCCUGGUAGAGAGGGUAAUUUGGCGUCCACCGCGGUUUCCAGAUCAUGGACUUACUGAUUGUCUGCCUAGGUAGUAUUACUGUUAAUGAAGAGAAAACAGACUUUCCUCUUUAAAAGACAGUAUGCUAAUUAUGACAGACAAUAGCGAGCUAGAGGUCAUUUAUUAUUUUUAAAGAGAGAGUUAAUUAUAAACGACUGGCAAAGAAGUGCAAAAUGACUGUAAAUUAGUAAGUGCGAUUCCAAGCUCAUAAAAACCCAGUGUCACUUUUUAUUAAAAAGAGAGCAUUCAUGAAAUAUUCUAUCCACCUUAACAUUUAAAAGUGUGAAUAAUUAACAACCUGAAGUUAACAAUUGCCGGCUUGUAAAAGCUCUGAUUAAAAGCAAUGUUUAUCAUCCACCAAAUGAACACAGCUCAUUAGGUCAACAUUUCCUAAUUAAUAGUCUUCUAUUAGGGGGAUAACAUAUUUUUAGUAUCAUGGGUUUUAAACAUGUCGUUGUUGGUUGUUUAUUAAACUUAAUCUGCACAAUAAUUAAAAUAUUGUCCCUAAGCUCAAAUGGGUUUCCUAGCCUUGGAAAGCAAUGAGAAAGGGAAUGUGCUUCAUUCUAGUUAAUUUAGACUCAUUAAAAAAGACAUAAAAGUUGAGGGUUUUUGUUUUUUUAACACUCCUCCCCCCUACAGCACUGAAGUGUCAGUGAGGCAAGGCUUCGAAUUGGUGACAUAACAGUAUUGAUAAAUAGGGUUUGGGAUGAAUGCAAACCUCUACCUGUCAUGUGCAGAGGGAAAACUUCAAAAAUAAAACUUCCAAUAUCAUACUUUUAUAUAAUAAUAAUAAUAAUAAUAAAUAAAUAAAUAAAUAAAUAAAUAAAUUUAUACCCUGCCCUCUCCAGUCAGAGCCAGGCUCAGGGUGGCUAACAUCAUAAACUAAUACAGUAUACAAAGAACAUAAAAACAUAAAAACAGGCAAUCAAUUAAUUAAAAUACAUCUUAAAAUUAGUUCAGAGCUAAUUAAAAUCUGGACAGAUGGCAGUCCACGGGUAAAAUUGAGAGUGGUUAAUAUUCUCCAGGGCCAACUGUUACCACUGGUCUUAUAAAGGACCUGUGAGCGGUCUCUUUAAUGCUUGUUCUUAUACAGAAAGAAAAGAAUCAGACUGAACCCUGACCAAAGGCCUGACGGAAUAGUUCCAUCUUGCAGGCCCUGUGGAAAGAUGUCAAAUCGUGCAGGGCCCUGGUCUCUUGUGAGAGAGUGUUCCACCAGGCCAGGGCCACGGCCAAAAAGGCCCUGGCUCUGGUCGAGGCCAGUCUAAUCUCCCUGGGGCCUGGAAUCUUCAGGGUGUUAUUAUUUGCAGACCUUAAGGUGCUCUGUGGGGCAUACCAGGAGACGCGGUCCCAUAGGUACGAGGGUCCUAGGCCAUAUAUAUGAAUCUAUCAUGCAGCCACACUUGGAAUACUGUGUACCGUUUUGGUCAUUACACCUCAGAAAGCAUAUAGAGCUGGAAAAGGUUCAGAAGAAGGCAUUCAAAAUUAACAAGGGGUUGGAGCAACUCUCCUGUGAGGAAAAGUUACUGUUGGUGAAGAACAUGAUAAGUUGCUAUUGGCAGUGGCAUAGCGUGGGUUGUCGGCGCCUAGGGCCGUGUGGAAGGAGGAUAGGAAGGAGGGAAAUGGAUGGAGUACGCAUGCACGUUCAACUGCCUAAUGGUGUCUAUGUGACCCAGGAGAUCGCAGCUGUAGAGAUAAGAAGUAUCAUUCUGUUGUCUGGAGAAGUUACUUCUUGGUUCUCAUGGAGAAGAUGUUUUCAACAGAGCACAGCGAAGGAAGCUGGCAGCUGUAUUGAGGCAGCACCAGGUGUUGAAAUUUUGCAUCCCUAACCAUUUUGCACUUGGGGUGACUGCCCCUGUGUCCACCCCCCACACUAUGCCACUGGCUAUGGUUGCCUUCUGGAGAGAAGUUGCAAUUUUGACAAAUAUUGAUGAUUAGGCAACCUGAAAAUCAGUUAGAUGUGAAACAUUUUUGUUGUUUAGUUGUUUAGUCGUGUCCGACUCAUUGUAACCCCAUGGACCAGAGCACGCCAGGAACUCCUGUCUUUCACUGCCUUCCACAGUUUGGUCAAACUCAUGUUAGUAGCUACAUGUUGGACGCCUUCCAACCUGAGGGGCUCAUCUUCCAGCGUCAUAACUUCUAUAUGCCAGUUGUUUUUGUCCAUGGAGUUUUCUUGGCAGGGAUACUGGAGUGGCUUGCCGGUUCCUGCUCCAGCUGGAUCAAAACUCUCCACUAUGACCUGUCCAUCUUGGGUGGCCCUGCACGGCAUAGCUCAUAGCUUCUCUGAGUUAUUCAAGCCCCUUCGCCACGACAAGGCAGUGAUCCACGAAGGAGUGAAACAUAGGGGACAUAUCAAAUGCUUUUUUAGGUAAAGGCAAAGGUACCCCUGACCAUUAGGUCCAGUCGCGGAUGACUCUGGGGUUGCGUGCUCAUCUCGCUCUAUAGGCCAAGGGAGCUGGCGUUUGUCCACACACAGUUUCUGAGUCAUGUGGCCAGCAUGACUAAGCCGCUUCUGGCGAACCAGAGCAGCACACGGAAACGCUGUUUACCUUCCCACCAGAGCAGUACCUAUUUAUCUACUUGCACUUUGACGUGCUUUUGAACUGCUGGGUGGGCAGGAGCUGGGACCGAGCAAUGGGAGCUCACCCCGUUGCAGGGAUUCAAACCACCGACCUUCUGAUCGGCAAGCCCAAGAGGCUCAGUGGUUUAGACCACAGCGCUACCUGCAUCCCAAAUGCUUAUUUAAUCAUGGACAAAUGGUUUGUUCUCACAGCCAUCUCCACUGACAACUUGGCUGCUGUGUUGUGCACCAGCUGCGGCUUCCAAGUGGUUUCCAAGAGCAGCAUUACAUGCUACAGCGUGUUGUGAUAGCCUAAUCUGGAGCACACCAUAGUACGGUGGCCAAGUCAUCUGUGCCCAAAUUGGGUUGGAGCUGCUGAACUGGCCAAAGCUGAAAUUGAAAGUCGUAGCGACCGAAACUACCCGAGCCUCUUGUGGCAAUGUUGGAUCUAGGAGUCCCAAGCCAUACACCCACUCUGUUCCAGAGGAGUUCAAUCCCUAUAGAGUAAGCCACCUCUCUACCUCGCAAACCUGGGAGCUUGGAAUGCUCUGUUAAAUCAGUGAGUCUUACUUCUAAGUAUUCUGAGUAUCAAAAGUUAAGCCCAUCAGAGCUCAGGUAAGCAUUUUCAAAUGUUUUCUGUGUUUUCCAAGGUUUUAUUUUAUUUUAAUUUUUUUAAAAGUAUGGUUUUGCUUUUGUGUUGUUUGUUAACCUGGACUCUUUGGGGAAAGUAGGCCAGGAUAGAAAUUUAAUUCAUUAAUCAAUCAAUCAAUAUUUACAUAAAAUUCAUUUUGCCUGCUAGAACAUAGCUUCCCUCUUGUUUUAAAGAAGGAAUGCUGAGGCUGGUUUUGCCGCGGCCUGUGGAGGCGUGGCUUGGCUUUAAUGAUAUGCAUGAAUAAUUUAUCAGUGGAGUUUGUAAGGGAUCAUUUGCAAUUUUAGGUGCACCAUUUCCUUUUGAAGCUCCAGAAUAACCCCCAUUAAUGUUAAUGGGGACCGUGCUCACAUUAAAAGGAGAUGAUACCCCUUAGGUGUUUAACAUCUGACUUAUUGAGGCCUUAAACUGCAUUGCUGAAUGACAUUUCUUUCAUUUACCAAGAUGGCUUUUUGUUAUGCUGCCAUUACAUGAGUGAAAAAGCGAAAAAGAGAAUAUGGAAGAGAAGCAAAUACCCAGUAAAGUAGCAGAAAAACUUGACUUAAAUCUAGUCUUGGCCUAAGAGGAAAACAGGUCAAUUCCAAAGGGCUACAGCUGAGUACCAGAGAGCACAUGCUAUGCAUCCAAAUGGUUUCAAUUUCUAGUGUCUGUAGGUAGGGCUGGGAAGGACCUCCUGGUGAGCUGCUGCCAGUCAGUGCCAACAUUACUGAGCUAGAUGGACCAAUGGACUGACUUGCUGUAAGGCAGCUUCCUAUAUUCCAAAUACCAUAAGUAAAAUGGGUCAGAGAGCCAGUUAGGCUCAUGGAAGAGGCAUCUGCCCGGUUUAGUUCUGAUCUUUUGAAAACUUGCUUUCCUUCAAAAAGCUCAUCCUUCCCACAGCUUCAGUUUCAAAAACAGUUUUCCACAUGGCGUUUCGGGUUGGGGCCACAGCAUAGAAACACACACACACACACACACACACACACACACACACUACAAAGCACCAUACAGGGGAAAGUCACUAUCAAAGCAAUCAUGUGAGCAAACACAUCUCAGAGAUGUGAUUUAACAUGUCUAUAGGAAAUAAUAUGACAGAGCAAAGCUCUUAAAAAAGCUAAAAACAUAUACAGUCAUACCUCAUGUUACGUCCGCUUCAUGUUACGUUCUUUCAGGUUACGUCCCGUGGCAACCCGGAAGUACCAGAAAGGGUUACUUCCGUGUUUCGCCACUUGCGCACGCACAGAAGUGCAAAAUGACGUCAUGCACAGAAGCGGCAAAUCACAGCCCGCACGUGCACAGACGUGCCACUGUGGGUUGCGCUCUUUUCAUGUUGCGAAUGGGCCUCUGGAAUGAAUCCCGUUUGCAACCAGAGGUACCACUGUACUCCACUUAAAAACUACUCUCCCUGCAAUUCAGUGCAUCAUAGGUUGCAAAAACACCAAGCCACUUAGUACGCACAAUAUAACAGUUCUCUCUCUCUCUCUCUCUCUCUCUCACACACACACACACACACACACACACAUACACACACACCUACCUGUGGGAGAUAUAUGCAGCCAAACAUAACUGUGCAUAAUUGGCAAUGAGAAAGGGGUUAAGGAUCACAGAGUUCUAAAUUGCUAGAGAAGACAGAUUAGUCAUGAUCCCUCACCUCCGGGGGCUAGGGAGGAGGGAAGAAAUAAGAGUUGUUACCUGUUCCUUUCUCUCUCCUCAUUGAACCAUGUAACUGAGCAGACAUCUAAAGCGGGGGCUCGGGACUCAGAUCUUGUGUUUGAGACUAACUUCUGCAUUUUGUAACCCAACAUACCUUACCUGUGUUGUUUCUGAUGUGGCAUUGAUGAUGCAUGAGUGAGACCACUUAUUCAUGUAAGUAAAGCAUUUAAACUUACUUAAGGUUGUGGUCUAUUGGGAGAGCACAAUUGUAAGCGCUUAAUACUGGGGCAUUUAAGGGUCUAACCUUAAGGGUCUAACCCUUUCCCGUGCUUUGUAAACACUGGGUAUAUUUCUGUUUUAAACUCUGCUGAGGUUUGUUUUUGUUUUUUGUAUAGAGAGUGAGGCAGCCAUUAUUCUUUUGCAUUUCCCCACAUAUAUGGGACUUCAGGAUUAACUGGUAUUCCCAGUUAUUUCCCUACAACACCAGCCCUUAUAAUGGGCUAGUGAUUGGAGAGAGAGAGAGAGAGAAAAGAGAGAGUGAACACUGGUAAUUCUUUUGGUGUUUCCUGCAAAAAGGAAAUUAUUUGUACUGAAAAUGUUAGCAAUUGCUUGACACCAUCUGUUCUCUCAUUUACAGAAGCUCGAGGAACAAGCAAUUACAGCUAGUCUAUUUGGGCCUCUCUUGAACUAUCCAGUAAUCACAAGGACCUGACAGUUUCCCCUCAACUAGUGCAACUUGGCAGCAGGGAGAGUCUCUGACUUUGUGAAUUAGGAGCUUCUGCAAACAAGAACAGGGACAAUUCUGAAGAAAUCUAUAGGAUGUUAAGCAAGAGCUUGAUUAAUUAUGACACACAUCAAAUAUUUCAAAAGGUACAAAGUCAAGACUAUGUUGGGCUUUUGAUGUAGACCUCACACAGAUAAACGAGGAUCAAUGCUGUUUUCAAAAUCCUGAAGUUUGAAGCGCUCAGUGUCUGCCUUUCUCUGCUGAGCAUAAGUUAGAGAUAAAUGGCUCUUUCUAAAUGACGCAACUUAUAGUUUCAUGAAAUCUGUCUGUUGAAAGGUUAUAUUGUUUCAUAUAAUCCCUAUGCAGAUUACAAUUCAGUGUGCAAUCACUGCAUGCGAGCGAGGGUCAGAAUUGCACCAGCUAACACCCCACCACCACCUCUAUGCAUUGAUUGAGUCUUCUGCAAAAAAAAAUAAAAUAUUUUAAUAAAUUGGGCUUAAAGUUAUAUGGGGCUGAGAUAAGUUUGCAUUGUGCUCAUGGGGGCAAAGGCUCUGGCACUUAUUGGUUGAAUUAGAGUAAUGAUACAGAAUGUUAGGUUGCUGAGGGACUAAAGAGUUUUGCAGUCCAAUUUCUGUGAGGAAGGAGAAAGUUGUCAGUUCGGCUGGGCUGAAAACCUCACCCAGGAGCAGUUGGAGGACUGAAGGAGCUCCUAGGAUACAAGGGAGCCUAAAGCAAUAAAGAUUAUGGAAAGUUAAAUUGGCAUUAAACCAAUAGAAGUUGGUAAUGUAAAAUCAACCAGGCAGUGACUGUCUUAGAAACACACUGCCUUUCCAUCAUAGACCACCUUAUUGUUUGAGUGACUCCUCCCCCAACGCAUUUGAAAAGUUCCCUUUUAUUGGAAAUCUACGUUCCCCACUAUUAUUUAAUGAAUUAUGUGGCUCUUUUUCUUAUUAAAUGCAAACCAUAACCUAUUACCUUGACUUAUUCAUGUAUACCACAGAGAGCAAUAUGUGCAAUGUGGCCAAGAUAACAGUUUUGGGGUGGACUGACCGAGGCACAUUCAAUCUCUGAAUCCUUAAAAUCACCGCAUUGCCUUAAUGAUAAUGUUUGGAAGUGACAGAGGUGGCUGGGUGCCGAAGAUAUCCUGCAACGGAGCCGGGUAAUUUUCUGCAGCACAUCUGAGCAUUAGGCAUUCAUCUCCGUAACUUUCUAUGCUAGUCUCUACGUCCCUGGAAAAAGUGAAAUGUAUUCCUCCCGUGUUAAUCAUGCAAGCGGCAGAGUGGUCGGAAUGCGCUGCACAAUGAAUUAUGCAUUUCAGCCCACCCGGGAGUCGAUAUUUACCAUAUCACACCGAAAUCCAUUAUGUAGAACAAACAUUCUAUUUAUACAACAAGCUGCAAAACUAUUCAACUGACCAGCUGCAGGUUGGAAGACAAGGUAACGGUACAUCCCAGCUUCUGCAAACGAGUGUUAGCUUGUGCCAUAGUUUUCUCCGCGCAUCUCAUGCUUUGGUGUGGCUAUUGCUAACAACAAAGGGCCGAGUUCUAAUUACAGAUGCAGGAACCCUGUUUUCUUGGGAAAGUGUGCCUAGGUGACAGCAGCUGCCACCAGACCACAUGGAAGAGCUUUCCUUUGCAGCAUUAAAAUAAAUUGCCAGGACUUCAUUAAUGAUUCUAGUACCAAAGUCCUUCUUCAAUAAUAUUGAUCACAAUUACCAUUGUUCUCAUCAACACAGUGGAAUCAAGAUGGCUAUUAUAUAGGGUAAUAAUAAUAAUAAUAAUAAUAAUAAUAAAUGGCACUUCUAGCAGACUAGCAACAGCAGGAUGGUGGCUAACAGUGAUUUUUAAACUGCCCAUGAUCUUUCACCACCAAAGCAUCAACAGCUUAAUGUCUAUUUCUAAUAUAUGCCUUCAAACUGACUAACAAUGUGAUUAGAUUUAAACAAAUUGCAUAUUGUCCAAACUUUAAUAUAGCUGCAUUUUUCAGACACUAAUUAAAUUUUAAGGUUCAUCCUUCCCGAUGCUGCCAAGGGCGUCAAAGUGAGGGGACAGGAUUUGCUUUGUGUUCCUCUGUCCAUUUCAAGCCUUUAAUUUUUAAUUUGCUGUUCAUCUUCCCUUCCAUUCAAAAUAAUGAGAGGGAGAGGUUUAGAUUCACUGAGAAGCAUGUCUAAAUCUGCCCCCAAUUGGGGACCAGGAGAGCUUUGAACCAAGAAAAUACUCCCUUUUGGACCCUACCAGUUUUGGAUCUCUGACAUCAGUUGGUCCAGGGCAUCAUCAUCGGAGAGGAAGGCUCCAACAUUAGGUUUCUCUCUCUCUUAUGUCAGAGUUGUCUCUGAGGUCAGAGGUGUCAUGUAUGCAUUAUGAACCAAAUAUCUGUCACAUGGCCUUUUUAAGAGAAACAGCUAUGACCCAGAAGGCCAGCUUCUGGCUGAAAGACUUCCUCUAAGCCCUUACUUUUUGUUGUAGGCUUGGACUGGUUUCUUGUUCGCACACUUAGGCGGAAACAUCCAGGCCAUAGAUGACACGCUUAGAUAGACAGACAGAUAGAUCUAAAGCACACUCUGCGGGGCAACAGCAACAAAAAUUCUCUAAUGGCACCUUGGGGCUAAUUUUAUGAAGUGUGAAAUCAAUCAACAUGGGGUAAAUUGGCAACCGGGUGAUGGACAAGUGGAUAACACUGAUUUAAUAAAUAUGAUCUCUGCCCUCUAUACAAACGCCUAUUAAUGCUGAUUUGGCUCUGUUCGCUUAAAGCAGGUGCAUUCAUGAUGAAGACUGACAGCCGGGGCAAAAUGGAUGGAAGCAUUUGGAAAACAAAUGCUGCUCUUGGCAUCCUCACAAAACGUUAAUUGGUUAACAAGCUGCAGCUAAUGCAGUGAUGAUGGUGGGGAUUUCUUUCCCGGCACUGAUAUGUUUUGCUCAUGUACGUCUCGGCAGCAGUAGCAAGUUGAGGGGCUCAUUUGCCUAUGAGAGCAAAUGCUGGUUUUCUUCUUUGAAGCAAGUUAAUAUUCUACAUGAUAAUGAGCAGUCAGAGAUGUAUUCCAUCCAUGGGACAUUUCACCACUGUAGUCUGUUACUUGGACCAUAAUUUAAGUUUUCACUUAGAAUAAUACUCCUUCUAGUGGGUGUUUUUUUAAAAAAAGCUCCAGAGAGACCUUUAAGUGAAAUAUCCUAAUUUAUAUUCCUAUUAAGGGAAAGUCUUCAAUCUUCAAAAAUUCAAUAGCUUAGGGGAAUAUGUUUGAGAUGUAAUUUUUGUGUUUUUUUAUUUUAAGAAAAGCACAGCUAAAUGACAAUUCCCACCUUGAUUUUCAAACAGCUCUGGCUGCAAAGGAGAUAACACCAACAGUGUGAAUCAGUCCUAGACCUCGGAAGGCUUACACACCCAUCGCACAACAUUGUAGACUUGACUCACCCAAAAAUCCCCAUUGUAGCUCUACAGUGCCAGAGGUGGAUACAGAGACUUUAUACAGUAGACACAUGACAAUGACAAUGCAAAGUGAUCUUGAAUUUAUUAUCAUAUCCAAGCUGAUGUUGAAUGUGACUGCCAUUUUAGGAAACUAAUCCUGCAAGGUUAUGCAUGGUUUUCAUUCUCAUGGCUUCCGUGAUUCUCAUGAACACCUUUUGGGAGUAACAGGUUCCUAUGUUAGCCAUCUUAGUCUGCUGUCACAAACCCAGUAAGAGGUCAUGAAGACACUUUAAAGGCAAACACAUGGUGGACUAGAGUGAGCUAGUCAUCAGCUUAUUAGCAAUGAUGGGGGAAAAGCCAUUUACACUUCUUCAAGCUGGAGAGAUGGGAGGUGGGUGGGUUUUCAAAAUGCCACCUCACGCUGCCUAAUAGUAAGAAGAGGUUGGGGACAGAACAAGGACUUCCACAGGGCUGGUUUUGCUGUCAGGUGUUAGGCUUGUCUGUUGGGAAACUCACAAAACACACAGACCAGUUUGGUUUUUACUUAUUAUAUGUCAACAUUUUUAAAUAAAAGAAUCCAAAAUGCCUGUAGCGUGGUAAAAGAUGCACACAAAUGCAUAUGUUAGUGAAAAUAACAUACAAGCAUAGGGAAAAUACAAAUAUUAAAAUAUUAGGGAAAACAUGUAUUGCAAAAAUGUACAGUGGUACCUUGGGUUACAUACGCUUCAGGUUACAUACGCUUCAGGUUACACACUCCGCUAACCCAGAAAUAGUGCUUCAGGUUAAGAACAGAAAUCGGUCUCCGUUGGCGCGGCGGCAGCAGGAGGCCCCAUUAGCUAAAGUGGUGCUUCAGGUUAAGAACAGUUUCAGGUUAAGAACAGACCUCCAGAACGAAUUAAGUACUUAAUCCGAGGUACCACUGUACUGUAUUAGGCAGAAUGGCACAGAAGUAUGUGUAUAUUAGGAAAAAGUCAUGCCAUUAUACUGAUGAAUCUGCAUGAGGACUUUUAUUUAUGUAUUUAAAUACAUACAUACCACAUACAUACUUUUUGGGGACUCAUCUGACUGGGCUUCUCUAGCCAUUGGACUUCCAACAGAAACAAACAAACAAAUAAAUCUGGAAAAGCAGAGAGCUGACCUUACGACUAGAAGAAUGAGAAACUGAGCGAAACUGAUCAAUUGGCCAUCGCUAUCUGGGAAUGACCAAAGAUUAUGGGAGGCCAUGAUGGUCUGGUUCCUUUGACAGCUGCCCAGGCCACCUAUGCGCAGAGGGAGGCCAUAGUGCAAAUGAGCAUCUUGGAAAGGUGGCAUCCCUGGAGAAAAAGCUGACUAGUGAAACCAGUCUGCUUCUUCUGUUUCCCCCAUUUCCCACUGGUCAUUAAUUCUGUGGCAAGGAAAAGCAGAGAAGCUCUCAUCAUUUCUCCAUGUUAUUUUUAGAAUGACAAAAGAAAGCCGUAUUGGAGAAUCAAGAAAUCUGCAGUACACCGUUUUGGUGAAAUGUAUACCCAAUAUAAUAUAAAUGUUAAUGUGCUGUGCGCAGUGCAUAUUUGUGAAGGACCACCCUUCCUCCUUGCUUUAGAAUUUCUUCCAAUGAGAUGGUAACUUAUCUAAAUUUAAUCAGUAUUGCUAACAGCAUGGCACCCCAUUAAACUUGUUUAUAAACAGAGUAAAAUAUAUAUCAGGAGCUCAUUAAAAUGAAAUUUUUAAUAGUGCCUUCCUUUUAUUUUAUUUUUUUACUCUAUUCCAGGGUUGUCUGAGGCUUCCUGAGGGAGAUCAUACGUGCAUUCCAUCGAGUGUGUCAUCUGUAAAAAAUUAUAAAUGUUCUCCCUCUUAAUCUUUUGUUUGCAAAGCUCUGUGUGUGAUUUGUCUUUUUCCUAAUGAUUACUAAGUGCUCAAUACUUGCUUAUUCAGGAUGCUUAUGUCAAACUAAUUAGGUUUAAGUGAGAGGAAACCAGCUGAUUAGAAUGUUAUUCUUUGCACUUGAACCAAGAAAUGGUGUGUAUAUAUACAUAACAACAUUUUUAAACACCCCGACCCCCUCAAAAAGCACUCUGCCUUGCUGGGAAGUAGGAGGUACCACAAACUCAGCAGGCAGAACAAACUGUGAAAUGUAUUUCUUUUAUGCAGGAUUUCAACUGACUAUGUAAGGUCAGAACCUUUAAAUCCACCAGGCCUUCUUAUAUAAGGCUUACCUCACCACACCUCCCUGAUAUAUUCAGAAGUGUGGAGCUCUUAGAAAUAAGAAGUUGAAAUAAGAAUCUGAACUUAGUCUGUGUUCAUUAGAUGGCAGUCUGAGCAAGAUCCAACUGCUAGGCCCCAUUGCCAUGCUUCAGAAGGUUAAGGUGGGAGGUGUCUGGGAUGAAAUUGGAGGAAAAGAAGAGCAGCAGCAAGAAAUGAUGCCUGCAUGAUCCUGGUUCCAACUGGACACCACGCCUUUUCUGUUCAUGUACUAGGUUUGAGUGUGAUUUUAUUUCAGUCUCCACCCCCAUUGUUCUACCCGGACACUAAGGUCUAGUGCCGAGGGCCUUCUGGCGGUUCCCUCGCUAUGAGAAGCCAAGUUACAGGGAACCAGGCAGAGGGCCUUCUCGGUAGUGGCACCCGCCCUGUGGAACGCCCUCCCACCAGAUGUCAAAGAGAACAACAAUUACCAGACUUUUAGAAGACAUCUGUAGGCAGCCCUGUUUAGGGAAGCUUUGAAUGUUUGAUGGACUACUGUAUUUUAAUAUUUUGUUGGAAGCCGCCCAGAGUGGCUGGAGAGGCCCGGCCAGAUGGGUGGGGUAUAAGUAAUAAAUUAUUAUUAUUAUUGUUAGUGGUAGCAGUAGCAGUAGUAGUCUUUUCUGAGAUCUUAUGAGAGCCUCCUUGGACUAUAAAGUAUAAUGUAAGUAUUCUAAAGAAACAAACAAAAAUCAUCAAAAACAGGGGCAGCCGAAGGCAUUUUGGUCCCGGAGGCAAAACGCCCUGCUGCUGCUCCUAUGAAGCCCCACCACACUGCCUGGCUGGAGAGGGGGGAAAUAUCCUUUCCAGAUCCUCUGCAGACUUUGGUGUUUCAAAUUUCAGUGGCAUCCCGUGUGAGACCAAAAUUCAGCACCCCUCCUGCCUCUCGCCUUCUGUUCUGCUCAAUUCACUACGUCAUAUUUGUGACGCACUGAAGUGCCCUGUAAGCUCGGCACCCAGUGCAGCAGAAUUGGACUGAUUGCUGUAAUUCCGCCUUUAUCCCCUGAUCCCCAGUGGUGGGAAUUUGGCAGGCUUCUUCCAUCUUGAUUCGUCAGAAGGGGAGACGUUCCUCAGAGUUUUGCUGCCAAUCCCUAUCUGCACCUAAAGGCCAGGGAGACCAGCACUUCUUUGCAGAGAUUAAUAUCUGAGGUGGCUGCCUCACUCUCACUAAUGGACUCUGGUCAUGUGCAUUGUGUUGGUUCUCAGAAUGGUACCAAACCUUACCACGACAGUGCUCUUUUUAUUAAUCAUGGCAACAUGGAAGGAGAAAAGCUGAAUCACCACGAAACUGUCGGGAUUCAAGCCUAUAUCAGUAGUAACUGGCAACUCUCCAGUUACCUGGCUUGAUCUCCUGUUGACCUCCCUGUCUGCAUUCCUCAGCAAGAUCCAGGCAGAGGUCGUGAUAGGCGAUCCUUCUCAGCGUGAGAAGAACACCCCCCCUCUUUGUUGCCCCCCCGGCAGGGGAAAGAGAUAGACAGAAACGUAUUUACAUGCCUUUAUGUCUGUCUUUGCAGCGUUACAAAAAACACGACUGCUCUCUUCAAACUCCAGCAGUCGAGAGAGUAAAACAUCCUGUACUUCCUGGACAGCUCAUAUUACACUCUGAGCUAAUUCCGGUGCUUCGCACUGUGAAGUGACUGUCCCUCUGUUUCCCACGGACAGUCCCAACAUCAUGUGAUGUUUUCAAGCUAGCAGCUCGCAGCUGCAUUGCUUCUAUAUCAUAACAUACUCCCCCAUAUGAAUCAAUGUGCGCUGCGAGUAAAGCUUGAUCCAGAGAAGAAAACAAACAGUUGUUAUACAUAUAACACUCCCCUGUUGUUUCAGUUCCACCCUUGGAACUACCCACCACUGGUUUCCCCAGUGUACCUCUCUGGUUGUCUGACUUCCAAGGAAUGAGUGCAUCUGCAUUACCUUGGCUAGGGAAUGUAGUGUUACGCUUAGCAACUCCCUGUUGUGUCUUUGUCUCUGACUUAGACACACCUUUAACCUGUCUUGAGUUGUCAACAAUAGUAACACAUGCAACAGCUGAGUUAGCAAACUCUUUUGAAUACCUCUUGGGUGGUACACCCUUUGUAACUCUCUCGGACCUGCGUAUGAGGUGCUGAUCCUCUCUGCUCACUGGUUCAGUCUCAGGAUUCUUUGGAGAACCAGUUCCGAUAGUAAACAGUGGUUCAUCCUUCACCUGUGAAGGUCUAGCCAUUGUGCGAGAUUUCCUCUCAAUGACAGUGUCAACUGAGCUCUUCGAGCUAUCACUGUUACGCUUAGUACUACUGUAAUCAGUAAAAUUAUCAUCAUCAUCUGAAUUGUCCUCAGUGGGAAAUGUGUGAACAAUUCCUCUCUCCUGUUCAGGAGCACUCUCUAGAAAUUUUGUGAGAAUCACCUGACCAGAUUCAGACAAAAUUACUCUGUAGAGAACCUUUUCAUAACCCACAAAAAUGCCUCUAGCAUUCUUUACUCCACCUGGAGCAUCAGAUAUCACAUGAGACCCCAAAACCUUAAAAUGGGCAACAGAAGGUUUUCUAUGAAAUAGCUUUUCAAAAGGAGAACUUCCCAAACCUUUUGAAACCUUUCUCAACCAAGUGUAACAAAAACACGAUAAAGAUUCAGCCCAAUACUCAUGUGGCAAAUGUGAACUCAGCAAUUGUGCCUUCCUCCCAUUUUGCAAUUCUUUGUUCACUUGCACACAGACACUUUUGUUCCAUGCUCCUGCAGAAACAGCAGUCUUGUGCCUUAUGCCUCGUUUAUCCAGGAAAUCCUGAAAAUCCUGUAAAAGAAAAACUGGCUUUUCAUCUGUGAAAAGACAAUCAAUGUUAGCAUCAUGAACAUUCUUAACCUUGUCACAAAACUCUUUAAACCUUUCUAAGGCUUCUUGUGGUUUGUGCAAUAUGUAUAUCCACACAUAAUGAGAGAAAUAAUCCACACACACAAGAUAAUAUCUUGCACUGCCUCUAGAUGGUGCUAGAGGACCAAUCACAUCAGCAUACACUCGCUGAAAAGCUUUGGUUACUUUCGUCGUCUUCUGGACAUUUUUCUUCACAUCUGCAAGAGAAAUCAUGUUAGACUCAGAUGCAUUACAAUUUAUGCAAUCACUUUGAUCAAAAGUCAACAAAUACAGUCCAUCUUUCUCUCUGGCAGAAAGAUACAGCUCUCCAUCUUUGAAGAUUUUGCAGCUUUCUCUAUCAUAGGACAAAAUCAGUCCUUUCUUUGUGAUCUGCGAAACACUUAGCAGAUUGAACUUUAAAUCAGGAACCAAAUACAUAUUGUUAAUAGUCAAGUUCAGACUUUCAAGAUACACAGUUCCAAACCCGGUUGCUUUCAGCUCCUGGCCAUUGGCCUGUUUCACAGUGAAGCUUUGCUUCUUAAACGUUGAAAACAGUCCUCGGCGCGACGUCAUGUGUUGCGUGCAACCCGUGUCAAGAACAAAAGCGUUCUCCAUUGAAAAUUCUGCUUUUGUUGACAGCACUGCUUUUGCAGGUUUCAUCUGGGACUUGGUAUGACUUUUGCCUGACGCCUCAGGCUUUGCAGAGCUCCCCUUAACUCCUUUCUGUUGACGUGGCUUCUUACAAUUCCGCUGAAGAUGCCCAGUCUGUCCACAAUUGUAACAACGGACAACGUUCAAAGCAACAGCCUGUUCUUCACUUGCAGUAGCAAUGUUUUCAAGCUAGCAGCUUGCAGCUGCAUUGCUUCUAUAUCGUAGCAGAAACUAGGGUCUGGUCUGCUCAGCAUCCCCACUCUGCACGAUGCCACAACUAAGGAUGCCUCUUUUCCGCAUCCAAACUAGGGUCACUGCUACUACACAAUGUUGGUACUAAGGCCACCUGUGACCAGCAACCAAACUAGGGUCACCUCUGCCAAUGCCCUAAGUCAGUGUUGGCCAAACUUGGGUGUCCAGCUGUUUUUGGACUGCAACUCCCAUCAUCCCUAGCUAGCAGGACCAGUGGUCAGGGGUGAUGGGGAUUGUAGUCCAAAAACAGCUGGAGACCCAAGUUUGGCCAACACUCCCCUAAGCUCUUCCAAGUAUCCAUUCACCGAUGAAGCUUCCAAAUCUCCUCAUUUCCUCCCUGCCCCAAGGAAGGCCAGGUAAAAGUCCUUUAAAAGAACCACUGAACCAUGGAGCAGAAACACGGGGGCACUAAUAGAAGUAACUGUGCUGCUGACAAAUGUGUCAAGAGUCCUCCCCUUCAGCCCAAUCCUGUGCAUCUGGGUUUCUGGUGAGAGAACUUAGGGGUUUCACUUCCCACACUAGACACUGAAUGGACACCUUUAAACAUCACAGUGCAGUGGGUGCGAAGGCACACACGACAGCUCUCACCUUUUCAUCUGCCCUCUAGCCCUCAGUUGACAGGACAAGCUGGUCUGCAGUUAUGUUACACAUCAGGUGCAGGAGGUAACAGAUGACAGAACCAGGAAGUGAAUGGGUGGGAAGAACCUCUACUGCAGUGGUUCUCAACCUGUGGGUCCCCAUAUGUUGUUGGACUACAACUCCCAUCAUCCCUGAGCUCUGGCCUUGCUAGCUGGGGGUGAUGGGAGUUGUAGUUCAACAACAUAUGGGGACCCACAAUUUGAGAAAGGCUGCUCUACUGUCUUGACUACUCUGCACUGGAACACUUACAGCAGCAUAGAAUUGUAGAGUUGGGACUACGAGGGUCAUUGCGUCCUAUUCCCUAAAAUUCAGGAAUCUUUCAUCCAGCAUGGGGCUCAACUCACAACCCUGAGAUUAAGAGUCUCAUGCUUUACUGACGGAGCUAUCGCAUCUGUUCUAAAUCUCCAGAAGAAGGCCCUUAGAUCAGUGUUCCCCAACCUUGGGCCUCCAGCUGUUUUUGGACUACAACUCCCAUCAUCCCUCGCUAGCAAGACCAGUGGUCAAGGAUGAUGGGAAUUGUAGUCCAAAAACAGCUGGAGGCCCAAGGUUGGGGAACACUGCCUUAGAUGGCUAAAUCCCAGAACGUCCUAGACUUCAAACACUUGGGCACCAGACACAACACAUUACAUGCAAAAGAAGCAUGGAAAAAAAUGUUACUCUUUGCCACCCUCUGUUCACUCACUCACUCACUCAAGACCUAGAUUGCGCAGGUGGCUCAUGGGCCGCAUGAAUAUUGACUUGAUAUAAAAUUCAAGUAAAUGUCAGGUCAGCAAAAAACCACUUUGGUUACAAAUUAGCAGUGAACCUGAAUACAGACGCUUGCAACGCCUUGAACUAUGGGCGCUGCUGAACUUCUCCACUGCUCCUCUGCUAUGUCAAAAGCUGAAAAGAACUCCGGGUUUGGGGAGGCAGGUCUGAUCCAUAGUUGUGCUUUGCAAUUCUAGUCUCUAACUCCUUAAAAUGUCAGGGAUAAUUAGAGGAGAGAGAAAGCUUUUCGGUGCCAUCAGUUUGACCACUGCAUACUUCUGUUUAAAUUUGGGGGCUGCGUAGUAAAACAGAGACACAGAUCAAUUAAAGGUCAUAUCUCUUUUUCUAACAUAUCAUGAACCUGGAGGCGUGUCCGAUCUAAAGGAUUGUAUGCACUAGCAAGUUAGCAUGCAAUAAUACUUUAAUACUUUACUUUAAGUGGGCUUUCUGCAGCCUGCAAAGUAGUAGGAUUCAGGUACAGAAAAGGAGGCACUGACAUUAACCACAGGAAUGGCCCGAUGGAGGGAAGGGAAAUCAGGAAUUUACUGCUGAGCUUGCUGGUCAAAAUCAGGCCACAGAACCAACAAAAUGAAGUAUUUCUGCCUACAAGAUGUAAUUGAUUUAUAUACUUUUCUGUCAUGAGAUGUGGUGGUGGCCAGUCUCUUAGAUGUCUUUAGAAGGGGAAUAAACAAAAUUCAUAUUUAUUUCAUAGAAUAAUAGAGUAAUACAAUUGUAGAGUUGGAAGCGACCCUGUGCAAUGCAAAUUUCAACAAUUUAUAUACUGCUUUGCACCUAGUUAUUAACCUAUCUACAAUAAGGUUACAAAAAUGAUACCACAGGGAUAAAAACAGUAAAACGUAGCAUUAAAAUCAGAAAAAUGCACUUAAAAUGUCUGCUGAAAUAAAAUAGUCUUCACCAAGCAUUUGAAAUUCAACAAGCGUUGGGCCUCUCAGAUCUCAGCUGUGAGAGAAUUCCACAGAAUUGGGCCCACAGUACUGAACACAUAGCUUUUGGUGGGUAUGAACUAUUUGUCUAAGCAAUCGGGGACCAUGAACAGUCCCCAAAGACCUCAUUCAUUGAGCAGGGAUGUAAGGAAUCAGGUGGCACUUAAGAUCAGUAGUGUAGCAUGGGGCGGUUGCUCUGGGGGCAAAUUUGUCAGGGGUGCAAAAUUUCAACACCCAAUGCUGACUCAAUACACCUGUGUGCGUCCAUCGCUGGACUCCAUUGAAAACAGCUUCUCUGUGCAAACCAGGAAGUAACAGCUCCAGACAAUUUCAGUUUCGAUCUCCUGGGUGACACACACAGCUGACAUUCACAGUUGAAUGCGUAUGCGUACUCUGUCCAUUUCCCUCCCUCCCACCCCCACUCUCUGUGUAGCCCUGGGUGCUAGCAACCUGUGCUACGUCACUGCUUAAGAUAUUUAUGUAUGGCGUUUCUAGACCACAAAUACACAAAUUAAAAAAUAACAGUUAACAGAGCAUAGUAGUAGAAAAAGAAAAUAAAAUCAGCAUAGCAAACCCACAGCAGCACUGAAAACUUUUACCAAUUUUAACUGUUGUUUUGAUUCUUUUUAUUGAAAUUGUGCAUUGUCCUUUUUAUGAAAGCCGCCUUGGGAGGGUUUUUCCUGAAAAGGCAAGCUAGAAAUAUUGCACACACUCUCUUUGUUUUUUCCCCUGGUUCAUUUCCCUCAUAAGCCACAUCAAAACCAUGGAUUAAAACCAGCAGCCCUAAGGGUUUUUAAAAAGCGCUUUCUCCAACUGCUUCAGAAACCUGUAUGAUUUUGGUGAUCCUUAUUAUCUGCCUUUGGACAGUAAUUAGUUUGACUAGUAAAUACUGGACUUGGUUUUCCCAGGUAAUUAUAACUUCAGAAAAAAGCUAACUGUGGAGGUUAAUGCUAUUUGAGUAACUGUGGGGUAAAAAAGACCAGAGGCUGUUUUAUGCUUUGUAAUUCUCUGCUAAGAGUAUCUGUGAAGUUCUCUCCUCUUCUGACAAAGAUUUUUUGCUUUGUCUUAUUCCAUUGUGUGCCAUUGAUUCUUGCUAUCAUAUAUGCUACGUACAAGUGAAAUUGUGGACUUCAUAUUGGCCUUUUGUUGCCUGAAGCUGAUGUUCCUUAAAAAAAAGAAAAGAAUAAACCAACCAACACUUCUUACUAUAUAUCUGAGAUGCUUGACCAUUUAUUCUACUGCCCAAAUAGCUGAAUUUGUUUGGCAGUGCUUUUACUCCGAACAAGACUAAGUCUGCUUAUUUGGCAUGCAUGCGGUAGAUAAUACCUGCAACUGCAUUUUCUCUAGCGCUAUGUAAUUUUACUCUAUGCAAAACCCAUUAUCCCUUUUCUUUCAACUGGACACAGAGUGCAUUACAGCUGGGAGGGAGGAAUUCACUUCUGUGUUUCCUCGAGUCUGGCAAAGCGUGUCUUAAAACUUGUGAGUUCAGUUCCUUUAUCUCUUUAGGCAAUAAAGAAAAGCCAGGCUAGACAACAAGUGUAGAAAUCUGAGGAACCAAGCAAGGGGGAAAUUCAAACUGUUAGCAGCAUUGAAGGCAGCUGUGCUGCUUAAACACAAAGCAACUUGGAGGAGGAAAUCGCGGCACUGAAGCCUCUGAAAAGAGCAUUUGGAGUGAUAGGAAAGUGAAGAUGAAGUACCGUAUUUUUCGCUCUAUAAGAUGCAUCUAGUUUUUGGAGGAGGAAAACAAGAAAAAAAAUAUUCUGAAUCUCAGAAGCCAGAACAGCAAGAGGGAUCUCUGCGCAGUGAAAGCAGCAAUCCCUCUCGCUGUUCUGGCUUCUGGGAUAGCUGCGCAGCCUGCAUUCGCUCCAUAAGACACACACACACAUUUCCCCUUACUUUUUAGGAGGGAAAAAGUGAGUCUUAUAGAGCAAAAAAUACGGUAUUAUGCUGGAGACAUGGAGCAGACAGCAGGUCCCACAGAGUCGUAUGAAAUGCCUUAAGAAAACGAGUAAUAUAUUUCAUGCAAAAAUUGCAACAUUACAUAUACAAUGCCUACUCAGUGGCUGCUUCCGAACUCUUGGACUCCCAUCCUCUGGAUACUAGCUAAAGUUGGUACCCAAGCAUCUCCCAAAAACACUGCGGAACCUUAUUGUUUGCGUUAUUUUUUGACGAGGAUUAAUCCCGGCAGAGACUGGGUAACAUAGUGUAAUCAUUUUUAUUUAUGUUGUUAUUUGGUGUCUUUAAAAUGCAUUGGGUUCAACCUAGAAUAGCCAUAACAAUGUCCAAUUGAUAGUAUCUUUUGGGAGAUUGCUCUAGUUACUGCCCAUCUAGAGAGCAUAAAAUUUGGUCAGGCAUAAAAUCUAUGUCAAUACUCCCUUAGAAAGUGAAGUGCUGCCUUGAAUUAGGCGUAAAAUAAUGUGACAAAUCUACCUCUCUCCUAGGGUAUAUACUCACGAUCAUAGAAUUGUAGAGAUGGAAGGGAACCCAUGGAUCAUCUAGUCCAACCCCCUGCAAUGCAGGAAUAUCAGCUAAAGCAUCCAUGGCAGAUGGCCAUCCAACCUCUGCUUAAAAACUUCCAGUGAAGAAGAGUCCACAACCUCCUUAGGUCUCCCCCAACCUGGUACCUUCCCAAUAUUUUGGACUACAAUUCCCAUCCUCCCUGACCAUUGUCCAUGCUGCCUGGAACUGAUGGGAACUAUAGUCCACCAGGAAAGGCUACUCAAGAUCAUAUAACACCACUAAAGUAUCAUUUUAAACUAAUGACCAGGACAGGAAAAGCACCCCGCACCCAAGAUGUUAUUACCAUUAUGUUUGAAAUCUCAGCAUUUUGCCUUUUAAUUUCUCUCUCUCUCUCUCUCUCUCUCUCUCUCUCUCUCUCUCUCUCUGUGUGUGUGUGUGUUUAUGUAAAUCCUCUGAAAUGCACACAGUUACUUAAUGGUGCACUGAAAUGCAGACUUGAUAUUGUUCAAGAGCUUGUUGGAAGAAAUUUGGGGAAGAGGAUUAAUGGUUUUCCAGCUCAGUAUCAGUAGAAGGCUUUAUUGCCCCUUGAGCCACAGCUGGAAUUUUCAGAUAAAGCCAGCACUGGUUUGACUCCGAUUCCCAUUGAAAUCAACUAGAUUUUCCCCUUUCCUUUAGAAUGGAAAAUGAGAAAUAUAGAGAAUACUAUGUGAAGCUUAAUAAAACUCUGGGCUCAGUAUGUGCAUAUGUGACCAUGUAGAUAUAUAACAAUUAGGAAAUAGGAAAUUUUUCAACUCUACCAAAGGACUUCCAGGUUUGAAGAGACAAGAAUUGCUAGCACAGCACAAAUAUAUACAGUGGUACCUCGGGUUAAGAACUUAAUUCGGUCUGAAGGUCUGUUCUUAACCUGAAACGGUUCUUAACCUGAAGCACUACUUUAGCUAAUGGGGCCUCCUGCUGCCGCGCCACUGGAGCACGAUUUCUGUUCUCAUCCUGAAGCAAAGUUCUUAACCUGAGGUACUAUUUCUGGGUUAGCAGAGUCUGUAACCUGAAGCGUACGUAACCCGAGGUACCACUAUAUAUAUAUUGUGCCUGAAAUCUCCACCUACAACCAGAACAAGCAAAGAUGACAGUACAGCACAGGCAAGAACAAGCUGCGAUACUCUGUGUGAUGGACAGCAGAGCCAGACUGGAGUCUGGUGAUGCAGUCCCUCUGAAACUCCACCAGAAUGCUGGAGCCUCUUGGUUAUGGGCAACAGAGUCAACAAGCAAGGGGAAGAACAGCACUUUUGUCGGGCGGAGAAUAAAAGGAGCAGUUUCAGAGGGAGGGGAUUAGAUAGGGUUAGGUUUUGGAGAUAGGGCUGGAUUUGAGGCGUAGGACUGGAUUUGACUGAGGGAGAAUUGGUUCUGAGUAAAGCUAAGCAUACACAUUGACGAGACUAUCCAAAGCGAGAUGACAAAGCCUCACAGCUUGGAUAGGGAGACUGGGUUGAGGGUCUGGGGAAGGUAUUGUCUGGGCACAGGAGGAAUGGUGGAGACCAGCUCCCCAUCCUGACCCUUUCAUGGAGGAGGAAGAGGAAGACAGUAUAGGUUUGCAACAGGGGUUUGAGAGAGGUAGCAGCUCAAAGGCAGAUGAGGGGGGAAGCUGGGAAAUCAUGAGACAGCCGGAACAACACCGGCUGACAUGUUGCCAUUAGAAAGUAUUUCAGACUCUCCAUCUCCCAGAACCCGGCAAGCCUUAAAAGUAGGAGGGCAAAGAGCUCAAAGACAGAGGCCAUGUAGCAGCACCUGUAGAAGUGACGAAUGAGGAAGUCGGAGAGACGGGAUGUGUGUGGAGAUUCACUCGGGACAACGCCAUUAUCCAAGAAGCUGGGUUCUGUAGCCUCUCUCUGUAAAGACUGAAAUAAAAAAGGACAGUAAGAAACUUUUCCUUGUCUUUAUACUUUCCUGAGCAACCAGCUGGGAGCUGCUGACAACAUCCUGACAGAUAUACAGACAGGAGUGUUCUGGAAGGGCUGUGACGGAACUGCGAAUAUAGGCUACCUGGGCCUCAGUAUAGCCAGGAGGGGAGAGUUCUUCUAGGUACAGAAGACUCCCAAACCAGUAACAAAGGGUGAGUCUGUUAUACCAUUUAGAAGACCUCAGGUGUGGGAUUGUUAAGAGAGUGGGUAACUGAGGAGAAGUGCCCCUCGCUCAUGAAUCAAAGUAUUCAGCUGUGAAGGAAGCAGUAUGGUGUUGAAAGUUAUUUGAUUGUAACAUCUAAGUGACAGAAACGGAGUUGAGCAUUCUACCAUCUAUUCUAGAAACCUGAAUAUUCUAGAAGCCUGGCACUCUAAAUCAUUAAGUUUUCCCUCACACAAGUCCCCCACUAGAUAAUCUGUCGUAAAUUGUUGAAAUUUGUGUAAUUGGUGUACUGUGAGGUGGGUGUACUAUAUUUAAUUGGGGGCAGUUAGCGGGACUGGAUCCGCCCCAUUAUUAGUUGGUGGUAUUAAGUGGUGGGUCUGCUACACUCUACUUCAAUAUUCCUUCCCCAAAGCGCUGUGUUUGAACAGCUCUUGUAAAACCAUUCUACGUGAUUAGAAGCUAGGCCUGUCAGUCACAAAAGAGCUCCCUCCCCUUCAUAUUUAUCUUUUGUGGAAAGCUUGGGAACAAAUGUUUCAAAUGUCUGCAGUUUUUGCAAAUGUCCAAAUCGUUCCAAAUCGUUUUGGUCCGGGAUGCUUCAGAGAACUCCUACUUCAGCUGAGGCAAUUCUCACAUCUCUCCAGAGUUGCCUGCUUUUUGGGGGGAUUCGUUCAAAUCAAAUUCAGACCCCUGCUUGUCAGCACACUUACCUUCCUCAUGCAAAUAGCAUGUGAAGAAGCCUAUAGCCUAAGGUGAGUUCUUCUUAGUCGAAAAGGCAAGCUACAUUAUUUAGUCCUGUGUUCUUUCAGAGGGUUGGCUCCUGGUUCAUCAGAUCUUUUGCGACGGGGUGGUGUUCUGAAGGGUAAAGGAAGCAGAAAUCCCCCAUGGUUCCUGUUCCCUCCACACCUCUGUCCCACCUGGAAGGGAGAUAUCAUAACACCUGUGUCUGGGCGAUAUGCAGUUUCCAGAUAAAAGGGUUUUUUAAACACCAGAUGCUAAAAUUCAACUCCAGGUAAUUGGAGGAAAAGUAAGCAUCACACGUGAACAGAAUGUUUUACUCUUCUUACAACUUAAUAGCAGUCUAGCACCAUGAAGAUGCUAUACAAAAUGAGCAGUGAGUACAUUCCAAGUCACUGCCCUGGCAGCUAAACCAAGCAAUACCGUUUUAUUGCAAGUUAAAAUACAGAAGGGGAAGGGCUGUUUGGAUUAUUAUUUUUUUGGUACAAAUCAUGUUCAGUAUUUCUCUUUCAUUGUAUUAACAAAAAGGGAUUUGUUUGUGAUCUUUUGGCAAAAGAUUGCAUUGAACUUCUCAGUAGUUAAAAUUUGCAUGUACCUUUUUCUCCCUUUAUGGUUGUCAUUCUAUUAUUUUUAAAAGGCCAUAUUUAGAAUGACAGGUCUUCAAAGCAGGAAGAGAAAGGGGGGGAAAAGUUGGUGUUUGGAUCUAUUCAAUAUUCGGUGACAUUACUUACCUAAUGCAUACAAAUAUAAUUCAUUUUUUUUGACUGAUCCCAUAAUUACAAAAUUUGUUUAAAGCUGUUAUAUUAUCUCCUUAUUUGACACAAUAUGGCAUAAUUUUGUUAUAGUAUUGAAAACCAAAUAAGACAACUGCAGCUGGUAGCGUUUCAAAGAGAUAUUCCCUUUAAGAUGAAAUCAAUCCCGUUUCAAGUUUAUUCCCCUGCUUUAUGAUAGAGGCUCUAGGGGUGUAUUUUGCUGAAAAAUGUCUUUUUGAUUUUUGAGAAAUUCUUUAGAUUAAUAUGCAGCUGUCAUUGCAAGGCAAAUCUAGAUUUGCUUUUAUGUGCUUCCUCUUUCCCCAGGCUGCAACUGGUGUCUACCUCUCUUGGAGAAGCAGUCCAUUCAUUUGCGACUGGGGCUCUUUCGAACAGGUCAGCAGCAAAGGAUUCAUCAACUCAUAUUCAUUUGAAACGUGUCGCACAAGCCCGUAUUUACAUUGACUGGAUCUGCUGCUUUUGCUUACAAGGUUCAAUAUUAGUCCUUUAGUAGCUCAUUUUCAAUGCAACGUUAUGCCUGGGCGGAAAGAGGGGGGAAAUGCAAAGGGUGGUUUAUCCUUUUAUCCUUUUUUUAUUAUUAUUUCAGCAUACCUUUUGAAAAUGCAUUUAACUUGCAGAACAUAUACGAUAAACUUUCUAAGGGGAUAUGGUUGAGUAAAUAAGGGCUGGGGGCUGUAUGUGAUGCUUACAUUUUUAUGCUUAACUACAUUUCCUAUAGUACCAAACCAGUUUAUAUAUAUAUUUAUUUUGCUGUGUGCUCCUCACUUCACCCAGCAGUGAAAACUUCCAAAGGCAGAGUGACCCGGGUUUGGUUUCCUUUAGAGAACACUCAAGACAGUUUUUAUUGCAUUAAAAAAAAUAUGGGCUCUGUUUACAGAUACUAGUGGUGCCGCAAGGUCAUUUUAGACUCCUGAUUUCAUAGUCUUACUGGCUCCCCUCUUUAAAUGGUAACCUGUGUAACUUCACUUACUUGAAAAUGUGUCAAUCCAGCCCUGCCAUGUUUGGGAAAACUCCUGCUCAUUUUGCUGAGUGGGGCCCUGGAAAACUGCCCCAAAUCACAGAAUCACAGAAUUGUAGAGAUGAAAGGAAUCAUCUCGUCCAAUCCCCUUCAGUGCAGGAAUCUAGUCCAACCCAACAUGGGGCUCGAACCCACAACUAAUGAGAUUAAGAGUUUCAUGCUCUACCAACAAAGCUGUCCCUGUGUUGGCAGCCCAAAACCCUACCCAAUAUUCUGCAAAAGCUGCUGUAUCUGCCCUUACUCUCCCUAUGUCUCUCACACAUUUUUAAGCAUUCAGGUAGGUAGCCAUGUUGGUCUGGCGCGGUCGAAAUAAAUAAAAAAAAUUAAAAAAUGGUCCAGUAGCACCUUAGAGACCAACUAAAUUUGUUCUGGGUAUAAGCUUUCGUGUAUCUGAGGAAGUUUGCAUGCACAGAAAAGCUUAUACCCAGAACAAACUUAGUUGGUCUCUUAGGUGCUACUGGACAAUUUAUUUAUUUAUUUAUUUCGACACUUUUAAGCAGUCUCUCCCCACUUAGCUACAGAAGGGGUCGCUAUGGAUGCCCCUACUAAUUGGCAGAAUGAGCCAUUCGCCUUAGGUUGCAGAUACUUGGGCAAAGGACAGCAGCAGCCUCCUGGGUCUCUUCUGAGCUCCCCUGCCAUUCCCCUCUGUUGCCACACAGCCUGUCUUGGGACCCGUAAUCUGACCUGCUGCUUCAGGUACAGGAGAUGAUGUCGUCCUGUCAUCAAUGUUGAACCUUCCAAUCACAUCAGGUUCUGUAGGUGGAAUGAGGCACCAUCUUGUCCUUUGCCUUAGAUGGCAGAAUGUCUUGGGCAGGCCCGGGGUGUCACCGUCUCUAAGUUCUGAUGCGUAUCUCAUUCAAAACAUGCAGAUGAGAUUCCCAUCCGUUACCAGACACUGAGAAAAUUGUAACCAACUUUGGUGAUCACAUAGGGUCCCCAGAUGUUUCACCAUCUAUUGAUCCCUGUGCCACCACUUUAUUUCUUGCUGCCACCACCCAGGCCCUACCUGGUACAAUACUGAGUCCAGUCAGGGUUAAAUUGGAACAUAAACUUUUGUUUAUUUAUUGCAGUUUAACAAGCAUGUGGUUUCAUAAACGGUAUCGGUCAAUUACAAUCACGGAGUGCCUAUCCAGACCUAUAACUUCCGCUACCUGCUCUCACUCACUAAACCACCUCUCAGAUAUUUACUUGUCUUCCUAGCCCCUAACUGUUCCUGACUCAGCUUAUUUCACAACACUAACUCAACCUACCCACAAACUCUAUCCCAAUUCACUCCCACUCCAACCAACCACCCAACUCCCAACGAACUCCUCCCUUUGCCCCUCCCAGAGCUGGUUUUAUAGUCCCUCUGACUCCACCCCCUGGGUCCUGAUUGGGUAACCUUUUUAACUAUUUCACCACCAGCACUCUCAUAUGUUAACAUCACACCAACUAUUCUGGGCUAUUAGCAAGCAAUCUCCCUAACAAAGGCCAACCACUUGCUGCAAUGACGCCUAUUUUUCUAGGAGGUCCAGGAUACCUCUGAUUCUACGAGGAGCCAGUUCUCUUUAAAAAUAAAAAUAAAAAUGAGCAUUCCAACUGAAAACAUAAAAACUCAAAUUCAAUUUAAAAGCACUGAAGGAGGGGAGGCAGCUGCACAGAUGGAUACAGUUCCCAAUGCAUUCUGAGGAAAUUCUUUAUCAAGGGGGAAAUGUUACGCUUCUUGACAAAAACUGCUUGGGACAUUUCCCCUCUCUGUUGCAGCACACCUAACAGGAAACAUGUGCAGCAGUUGUCCAUGAGGAAGCUUGAUUCCAUAUGCAGAUCUUCUGAGUUGGAUUGGGGUGAGGCUGUGUAAACUCCAACUGUGCAUUCAUAAGCUGCUGUUCUAUGAGCUGCCAUGGAAUGUUUUAAGCAGCAUAGACAUUCUAAACGUAUCUUUCGAUACCUCAACACCUUUCUGUCAUUGAACGUGGUGUGAUGAGAACAACAACAGAGUGCGCCUCUGGGGGUGAAGUCAAACCCACUGUGCUAGCAGCGCCAAAGUGACCUCCUCAAGGCGAAAACCUGGGCAGUGUGUAUGGAGCUCCUGGGCUGCCCAAAUGACAAGUCCCACCUCUCGGCCUUGCUGAUGUAGACAAGAGCAAUACACUUGGCACCAGCGGGGCUGCAGGAGCUGCCAAAGGAAGGCGUACAAGGCACCAUCCAACCGUCUUAGGGACUCCACUCUAGAUUUGUGUAGGGUUUACCCAUUAGACUUUUCUUCUCCCAAAGAUAUCCCGCAAAGCAGUAGAGGUUUAGGAUCAGAGUCUUCAUUCUAGAUGGGACACCUUCCCAGGUUGGUGAGACCCAUCUGCCCCUCACAUCCCUCUUCAGCAUAUACAGAAAGUGCCUUCUUGAUCAUUAGACCCACUAUUGAUCCCAUCCACUCAAUCCACCGGAGCCUGUCUUUGCAUGUGGGGGAAGUCUCUAAUUCUCCAAGGGUUUGAGACCCAUUGGUUACCCUCACCUGGUUUAGCCGGCCAGUCGAAGCUGUUUCCAGGGUGUGGCUGCUGUCACAUGCUGACAGCUUCUGUGAGCCACAGGUGAGAGCUGGGUUCAGGAUGGGGACCAAAGGUGGACAAACUACUCCAGAAGGAACAUGACAUGUCCCCUCACUAGAGGUACUACCCCUCCUCCAAUGCCCCAUACACCCCAGAAUAUUAGUAGACAUAAUAAUAUGCCAUAAGUUUUCGCAGACCAGAGUCCACUUCAUCAGAUGCAUCGUGCAUCUGUUGAAAUGGAUUAUGGUUCACAAAUAUUCUUGCCAUUCUAAAUUGGUUAGUUUUCAGGGUGCCUCACGACUAGUUGCUGCAUCAGACUAGCAUGACUACCCCACUGGAAAUUGUUAGAAACCAUUAAUAAAUACUGAUUUCAUUCAUUCAGUGCAUAGUCUGCCUCAUUCAAACAUCAUGUGGCUGACCACAUGUGAAAAGGUUGUAUAUAUUAUGCACCAAUUACAAGAUAAAAGUUUACAGAUGUUAAAAUUCCAUACCAUAUCAUCUUAUCACUAGCCAGGAAAUCAAUACCAAAAACAGUCUUACAUUGCUUCUGAAAGAACCUCAACACUGGGCUUUGACAUUAUGAAGUAUAUAGUAAAACUCUUAUUUGCUAAUCUGGUACAUCAGUUUUUCACAAAGCCUAGUCUACUAUUUAUAGCCAAGAAAGCUUUUGGAAUGCUUCUAGAUCCCAACAUUGUUUCGCCAGAAAUGUUUCUGUGUUGGCUGAAUGAUUGUAUCGAUUCUUCUGUCUUAUAAGAGUAUCCAUCCAAAUGAUUUUAGUGGAUCCAAAAUGUCCACAGAGUCAAAAACCAGAGGAUAUAUAUGUGUAAACUCAGAGCUCUUGGUGGCUCUUGGAAUGUUUCAUGCAAAAACAGUUUAACCAAACUUGACUCAUUCACAGUGGCAUACUGAGAUUGUCCCCAUCCUUCUGCCCUCAGAAUAAACAGAAAGAACGAGGCCAGGCCAAGCCAGGGCCAAGUUUCCAAUGACCAAGUUUGUGGAGAUUUGCAAAGGCAAAAGUGUCCUAUACGUGUCUCCUCAGGAAAAACCCACAAGUCCCACUGAGUGGGACUUACUUCCAGGUAGCUUCCAUUGCAAUAUUACCAUAUCAUUUUUUAAAAGAAAACAAAGCUUUCAGAUAAAUAAAUUUACUGUGCAAUAGAAGUUACACAAUUAAAUUGGGGGGGGGGGAUAUAAUAACAUAUUAAAUAAAAAGUGUAGAAUGUUAACACACUUUUGCAGUUAGAUAAUGAAAAAUGAGAAUGCUGUGAAUUGCUUCAUGAAUUAUCCAAACAGGAGCCUGAAGGCAUGGUGGAUACAAGCCACAAUAACUAAGCCUGUUGUCUCUGUGACUUGCGGAUCAUUUUCAGGAGAGCUUGAAGCUUAAAGGACAUCAGAAUACUGGACUGGAUCCCCAUCACUGUAUCACCUACCAACUGUAUACAACGCGGCUGUCUCCAUAUAUAUUGGCCAUUGCAUCUGAAUUCGCCCUGAAUUCCUGAGGGUGAUGCUCAGGCUGGACAAAUUUGAGUUGUCCAAGUUUUUGCAUCAGUCGAUGAUAAGGAUGCUUCCUUCUUGCAUUCACUAAAAACAAAUAUUCAUGCACAACAGGAGCUUCACGGCUUGCGCAAGCUGCCUUAUUUACUUUAAUGAUAGGAGCUCCUAAAACAAUAUUUAUGAAUAUUCGCCUUUUUGAUGAUCCUAUCAUUUAUGGUUUCUUCAGUUUGUGUACUUUUCUAGCUGCUUUGUGAGGAUACUAUCCUGAAAAUCAGCAUGCAAGUCUACUAAAUAAAAUUGAUAAAUAAGUGAACAAUUGUGCUGAGAAAUCUUGACAAAAAAAGAGGCGUUUGUUGGUGCUGCCAAAAACAUUCACUGAAAUGAGUUAGUAGUUUUGGCUCAGCCUGGAUAAUAAUAAUGUAAAAAUCACAUUGUGUAAUUAAUUUAGCACAGACCGAACACAUUAACAAAGUUACACAGCUCACAUGACAAUUGAUAAAUGUUACCCUUGGCACCGGUUCAGUAUUUCUUUUUUGAUAACGCUGCGCACGGAAGUUGGCCACUAACACAUGGUUUGCAUGAAGUCGAAGUCACAUGCAAGUUGUACUUUCAAUGCUGUACAUUACUCCAGAUUAUAUAUUUGUCAUGUUAGUUAUUAAGCCAAGAUGGAUUACGGUGCCUUGCUUCUAACAAGCCGUUGCAAGACAUUCCCCUUCACUCUAUAGACCAUGUUCUUGCAAGCUCAACUACAUUGUUUUCCAAUACUUCCUAAUCACGCUAUACAAUAUACGAUGUAAAAUGAUUCCCAUUUAUAUCAUACAAUAGAUAGCAGUGUCGUUUAAUUAAUUUAAACUAAAGAGGAAUGAUCAGCAUUCACUCACAAACCUUUCCUUUGGGAUGGUACAUGCAGGGAAAACCCCCCUCAUUUUAUACCGCAGGCGGAGAAAAGCAAGGCUUAGGAAGAUAAUAUUUGCCUGGGAGGAACAGAGACUGCCACCGUCUAAGUUGUUAGUAUGGCGCUGUGCUUACUGAUUUGAGGGAGGAGUCCUCAAUAUUUUUAUACUGAGAAUAGCCUCCCUUAUUUUGCCCUUCCUGCUUCAACAUCACAUUGAGUGGCAAAGCCAGAUGAGACCAUAUAAGACUGGUCCUGUGGAGCCUGCCUUUGUUGCUGGUACACUGAUGAGCCCAUUCAAGAUAUUUACAUGAACAUGCAGAUCUCUAAAUGACUUGGGGCCCCGAUAUCUGAAGGAAUACCUGCCUCUUUAUUGGGGAUGGGGAAAGAAAUUCAUUUAAGUUUUCAUUUAAAGGCGAACCAACUUAAUUCUUGCUUUACCAAACUAUCCAUGAACUGAAGCACAGCCAGCCUUUGAAAUUUGCAGUUCUCUGAAUUUUGCAGUUCUUCAGCCAGCUAACAUGUACAAAAAUGCAUAUGCUAAGAUAAAAUGCAUAUAUUAGUGAAAAUAUUAAAACUGAGUUAUGUUAGAAGAAAUUGCUUUGCAAAAACAUGUACAUUAGGCAAAAUUGCAUGUGAAUGUGUGUAUAUUAGGACAAAUUAACUGGCGAAUUUUCAUGAGGACUUUUUUUUUUAACAUUGCGGCAAUGUGGAUAAUUGCACUUAUGAGUGGAAAAAUGAGAAACUGAAAGAAACCAAAAUGGAUAGAUUCACCCAUCCCUACUCUCUAUCACACAUUAAGAUCAGUGGAAGUUGUCCUUCUCAUUGUUCUCCCAUCCAGUGGCUCUCAAAGACUUGUUUGUUUAGUCGUUUAGUCGUGUCCGACUCUUCCUGACCCCAUGGACCAGAGCACGCCAGGCAUUCCUGUCUUCCACUGCCUCCCACAGUUUGGUUAAAACUUAUGUUAGUAGCUUCAAGAACACUGUCCAACCAUCUCGUCCUCUGCCGUCCCCUUCUCCUUGUGCCCUCCAUCUUUCCCAGCAUCAGGAUCUUUUCAAGGGAGUCUUCUCUUCUCAUGAGGUGGCCCAAGUAUUGGCGCCUCAGCUUCAGGAUCUGUCCUUCCAGUGAGCCCUCAGGGCUGAUUUCCUUAAGAAUGGAUAGGUUUGAUCUUCUUGCAGUCCAUGGGACUCUCAAGAGUCUCCUCCAGCACCAUAAUUCAAAAGCAUAAAUUCUUCGGCGAUCAGCCUUCUUUAUGGUCCAGCUCUCACUUCCAUACAUCACUACUGGGAAAACCAUAGCUUUAACUAUACAGACCUUUGCUGGCAAGGUGAUGUCUCUGCUUUUUACGAUGCUGUCUCAAAAACUACGUUACAAAUAUAACUAAGGGUAAUUCCUCCAAUUGCUCAUCAUCUUCAACUGAAUAUCAUGCUAUCUCUGAUGAAUGAGUGGCUGAAUGAAUGAUGAAAACAAACUAGGUUACCCUACCUAAUAAAGAAUAUUGGAUAGUCCCUGGUUAUGGUCUCAAGGUGCAUGACAAAAUUUAGCAGUGUUUGGUUGUGGUCAGUAUUUGGAUGGAUGACUGCCUCAAAACCACAUGUAUGCUGCCUUGGGUUCCAUGAUGAAAGAAAGGCAGGGUAGAAAUGUAAGAAAACAAGAGUGGCCAAUGCAUUCAAAUACAGGCUUCAUAGAUUAAAUAAUAAAUAGCAUAAGGGGGGAAUUUAGGGAGGCUAGGGCAACACUUCUCUUGUGCCUGUGUUUCAGACAUAUCAACAUUCCUGAAGGAGGUGGAGGACUCAUCAGUAUUUCACAGGUUACCCCACCAUCUGUAGUGAGGCUGUUCACAAUCCAUAAUAAUGUAUUUUUACAUUAUUGUAAUGCCCUACCAAAGGAUGCUCACCUAGCCCUGAUUAUGCUAUCCUUUAAGCACCAUGUGACUACCCCUUUUAUUUUUGUCAAGGCCUUUUAGCUGCUGUUGAUAAUGUGCUUAAAAAAAUCUUCCUAGCUUGUUUGUUAAUGCUCUGCUGCUUUAAUAUCAAUGAUGGGCUGUUUUAAAUUGAUUGCUGUGUUGGCCACUCUGAGAACCCUUCAGGGCUGAAGAGCAGGGCACAGAUUUGUAAACAAACAAACCAGCAAAUAAAAAAUGCAACCAUGACUAAUUCCAUUAAAUACACGCGUGUUAAGGGAGGGAGUUUCUCUUGAAGAUUAGGCCUUUGAAGCAUGUUGUGAAAGUACCUCCCACACUUUCCAGUCUGAAACUUAAAAUGGUGCCCUUUGUUCAUUUAAUGGAAGGAAUACAUUCUAUGUAAAUGCCCAAUAUUUCCCCCCCGAAGGUCAUAUGCUUUCCCCAUGAAACUGCAUUCUCUGAUAAAUCUGCCUAAUUUUAUGGCUGAAGUACUAUUGCAGAGAUAAUGCUUUAAUUACAAACACUGUGUGUGUUUGUUUUUUUAAAACCCACCUCUGAAAAAAAGGUUCAUUAGAAAUGUUUAUGGCACACUAAGCAACAUAACACCAAUCGCCUGGAGUAGGGUUGUAUUUUAGCAUUCUUGUCCCAGCAGAUUCCAUUUUUAUAUUAUGGAAAUUUCUGCAGACCUUAGGCCAUGAGUAUUGAACAAUUUUCACCUUUUGUGGCUUCUCAUUGACCUACAGUACAAUAUAGGGGGUUUUGAACAUAAAAGAAUAAUUGACAACCCUUAUAUUACUCCGAGAGAUUGCUUACCCAUGUGGUAGGGGAAAAAACUUUUAAACUUACAGUUAAUUAGGAGUAUGUUAUUGAUGACAAACCUUUAGCGCAUUAGAGAGAGGGCGGCAGAGAGAAAGGGAGAGAUUAAAUUACUUUCUUUGUCAAUUGUUAUUUAGAUCAUUUCUCAACAAUCGGUUCUUUGGUUUCUUAUUCGUACCAAGGUUUCAUUACAAUGUUUAUGCUCACCACAAAUGUUAUUGUUAUAGUCAGGCCAAUUAUUUCUAAAGGCAAUCUUACAUGUUAAAAGAUGGGACAUCUCUGAUCGAGUCAUAGAGUAAACCCAUUGCAACCAAUGGGUAGAAUCUGACGUCACGCUAAGAUGUUUGUUCUGUCAGGGCAAGCUUUUCUUGCAGAUAUUCCCUCUUCUCCCAACCUCACCAUGGUCUAGGACUUCUUCCAACCCUCUCAAGGAGAUCUGGGGAGGACACGGGGAUCAUGUGGAGGAGCAGAAGGGAGAAAGUCUUGUUGGGUUACUUAGGAUUCAUUACACUGGCAUCUGUUAGCACAACUUAGCUGAAUCCAGCCCAUUGCACUUAAGCUUGCCAUGCCUUAAGUCUGUUGAUUACAGUGGGUCUAUUGACUUAGUGCAGUAUUUCUCCUGAGAAGGAUAUGCAAUAAUUCUGAGCUCCUUCACUCACUCAUUCAUUUCAUGCAGAUUGAAACCCAGGUCUGCAAGGUUGGUAGCUUUUGCUCACUACUCUUCAUUGUAUCAGAUCUAUCACACUAGCGGUGACUAACAUUCCCUCCACCCCACAGCAGCUAUUUCUGAAGCAACCAUGCAGUGGGAUCCCCAUAGUGAAGGAUUGUCUGAAAUGAUCCAUGAUUCCGAUAAAUGAUUAAUGGUACAAUACAUUGCCAUUGCAUUCAUUCUAUGGAAGUGGAGCCUGACAAGGUAAUUGUGGGUUCCUAAAAGAAGUGGGAAUCUCAGAAGAUCUUGUUCAACAAUAGUCAUCCCGCUCUAGGACCAGCACACACUGGCUACAGUCCCUCAAAAUACUUAAUUUUGUCCUCCAUGUAAGGCGCAUAUGAACUCUUUUCAUUGGAGACCCUUUCAUAUAAAUAUUGAAGAAGUCGUUGCACCGUGGGCAGGAAAAAACCAGUGUUUAUGAGUGCUGUGAAAUGAAAGGAACAGAGGUAACCAACCAGUGCGUCCAACUCUGGCACACUGCCAUCAGGAAUCAAAUGUCAUAAGUUGUGGCAGUGUGUUGCGAAUGAGCCUCAAGUCAAUUCCCAGCUAUUCAGGAAUGUCCUAAACAGCUGCCAAAAUGAACAAUACAAUGAUAUUUCUUAAGAACUUGGACCCAGUUUCUAGGACGUUCUCUCUCUUUCCUUGGAGACCUUCCUUUGGAACCAGAGUUGCUAGAUGGAGUGGCUUUUCCUUGUAAUGACUCUGAACACAAUCGCAGUAGUGUAGGAAUCGACGGAAUGAGAAUUGUUAACCCAACAGACAAUGAAUUAACCAAUCAAAGUGUGCCAGAUAGUUCAGUUAGUAGAGCAUGUUGGGUGUAAGAUUCCUGCAUUGCAGGGGGUUGGACUAAAUGACCCUCAUGGUCCCUUCCAAAGCUACAGUUCUAUGAUUUUAUGAAGUCGAUAGUGAAGUCAUUCUGAUUUUUACCAGUUCAUUGUAAGGGCUGUAUCCAAUAUUCUUCAUACUCAAAAUAGACCCUUUGAAAUUAGUGGACAUGAAUAACUUGGGUCCAUUAGAUUCAGUGGGUCUAACUCUCUUAUUUCCUGUUGAUGAAAAUCUACUCUUGAGUAAACAUAGUCCAGGUACACGGGUGGCGCUGUGGGUUAAACCACUGAGCCUAAGACUUGCCGAUCAGAAGGUUGGCGGUUCGAAUCCCCGCGACAGGGUGUGCUCCCGUUGUUUGGUCCCUGCUCCUGCCCACCUAGCCGUUUGAAAGCACGUCAAAGUGCAAGUAGAUAAAUAGGUACCGCUCUGGCGGGAAGGUAAACGACGUUUCCGUGCACUGCUCUGGUUCGCCAGAAGCGGCUUAGUCAUGCUGGCCACAUGACCCGGAAGUUGUACGCCGGCUCCCUCGGCCAAUAAAGCGAGAUGAGUGCCGCAACCCCAGAGUCGGCCACAACUGGACCUAAUGGUCAGGGGUCCCAUUACCUUUACCUUUAAACAUAGUCCAGUCAAUAUAACCACACAUUUUCUUUUUACGUUAGUGUGUGUUGGAGGAAGGGGAAAUCCAUGAGUCAAAAAGUUACCUCACACCCUUGAGUAAAUAGCUUUUGAGUACUGCAUUCAGUCAGCUAACAGUGUUUGUGAUAAACAUACCGGCUGGCAUCUUAUAACUGAAAUUAAAUUCCUUCAUUGUGCUUUGUAGUCUGCUUUUAUUCUCCCACCAAAAUUUAUAGUUUCUUCUCUAUACUGUAAGCGCUAUAUUUGGAAUACAUUAGUGAGCUAUUUUCGUCAGUCCAGGUUGUAUGGUCUAUCACAUGGAAACGUUUGUUUUUCUUCCUUGGGAAGGAUAAUGCAUAUUGAAGGCCCAGGUUAGCCUCCUCCUCAGUAAAUUAACUAUGGAAAAAUCUUUCAAUGCACCCUUUCAUUUAUUUGUUGUAUUUAAAUUGAACCACACCACUUUCAUUUGGUAUAAUAAAAGAUCGUCAUCAGUAUUAACUGGGUUCGAUAUAAGUGGUUUGCCUCUCAAAUGUAUUAUAGUUCAUUUCAUAUUUAGUGAUGUAGUAAUAGCUUAAAUUGUACAUUGAGGUCAAGCGCUGGUAUUGAUCCUUUAAAAUAUAAAUAUUACUAUUAAUUAGACAUAGGCUUGGGCAACUUACCUGACCUUAUCAGUUAUUCUGAUGUACUAUUAGAAAACAAAACAGAAAUAGCAAAACAACAAAAAUGGGAUAUAACAGGAAAAUAGGGUUGACCUUUACUAAAUAAAUUAGCAGUACAUUAGCUUCUAGAAUUAGCAGUGAAUGAAAACUUUUAAGAAUAAGGUAAAGAAAAACAAGAAAAGGAAGAGUGAUAAACAAUACAAAAGGAGAAUUGUACUUUGCCCAGGAUAUAGCGGAAUAUUUUCAAUUUUCAAUUGUGAUCCUGUCAAGGUUUCUUUUGAAGUUCUAGUGAAGCUUAAAGGGUUCAUUGGUAAGAGAAGCCAUCAUUAGCCCUCUGAGUGGAGGGUGCCAGUGCCCAGGGUGAGGGCAGGAGGGUUGGACCUCAAGUUUAACAGGAGCCCUCAGAUUUAGACACUUGUGUUUAUUAUUAUUAUUAUUGGCAUUUUGAAAGUUUUGCAACUUGGUUUUUAUGAGCACCAGACCAAAUUAUGGCAUGCCCUCUCAGAGCUUAGAGCUACAAAUUUAGGCAAAUAAUUAAUGCCAGGAGGGCAGAGUUGGGUGGGCACACUUGGUAUCAGGUGUGGGAUGAGCUGGCAGAUUAACUGUUUCCAGGCACAGUUAUGACCAACACAGCCCUAUGUAGCUUGGAUCCAGGCUAUUUGAAGGAUUGUAUCUUCUCUAUAUGAGCCUGCCCAUGUUUUGAGCUCUUCUGGGGAGGCUUUUCUCUCAGUCCCACCACCUUCACAGACACAUGUGAUGGGGACAUGGCAGAGGGCCUCCUUGGUGGCUGCUCCCACUUGUGGCACUCCCUUCCAUCUGGGGUAGACUGGCUUCCUCUCUGCUUUUCUUUCACCAGCAGGCAAAUACUUCCUUGUUCCAAUAGGACUUUGGCCACUAAAUGGCUGUUGUGGCAUUAGCUGUAGGUCAAGUAAUUAAACUUAUUGGGUAAUAUCCCAGUAAGUCAUUGGUCUCAAAGGGUUUACUCUGAGUAGGAUUACCAUCAGAUAUCACCUGUUAUGUGCAGAGACGUACCCAGGAGGGUGGCCUUCUCAGUCAUGGGUGCCUAACACAAUCACUGUCUUCCCUAGAGAAGCUCGCCUGCUGCCAACGCUUACAACUUUUCAUUACCAGAAAAUGACUUUUUAAAAGUUGGACAACUGUUCCAGCAUGUUUUAUACCUGAUCUGAGUUGUGUUUGGACAGGUUAUGCUAGAUUUCAAUGAUUUUACUGGCAGUAUGGCCGCUGCUCUGAAGCUGCACAUCAUUCUUUGUGAGUUGUUUUAGAUAGGAAAUUGUGCCUUCAAUAACGCUUAGUGAAGGGGAGUUUCUAAAUUUACCAGACCCAACAAAGUUCCUUUGUUGCACAUUCCAGAUUUAUAAAAUCUGCAGUCCUGAGGACUGAGGAUAGUGUGGAAGAGAAGGGGGAAGACGCUGCGGCAAAAUGAAAAGGCCAUAUUGAAAAUAAUAGUGCCACUUAAUCCAGGGUCAUAAAAAACCUAGAAAGAUGCUGUUGUCCUUCUGCAGUUAAAAGGAUUAAAUGCAAUGAAGAGGUAGCUUGGCUACAGCCACUUGCCCACAGCACUAGAUUAUCUCUUUGUAGCAUUUACACAACACCGCCGCACUUGCCAAUUGCCAUGUGCUGUAUUGAUUGUGUAGCGUACCUGUGUUUGAGCUCUGUAAGAAUGCAGCAGCCCAAAUAUAAAUUCCAUAUGAUAUUCGUCCUGCCAGGGGAUUUUUACCUUUGGGUUUGAAGGUGACAGGCCAAAUCAUGCUUUUUCUUGGAAACUCUCUUUUUUCCAGGCUUACUGGAUCUUCUCUUCCUCAGACACCAGAAAUCAAACUGUUCCACAAACCACCCAGGGUCACGUCUUACACCCUUCAAUAGCGCAGAGCAAGAAUAGAGGUCCUGUAAUAAACCACAGAGGUAUUAAUUACCACAGCUUUAUCAGAAGGAGCUAUUAGUCCUUUGGUCUGGAACUCAAAUACAGUGUUGUGUUAUUUUAAGUUGCCAUGCCAUUCGCCCUCUGGGUUUAUUCCCAUGGCCAGGCCAUUUGGCUCCUCAUCUCCACACACAAUGCUGUUUUGUUUGCUCAAUGCGGGUGAGGGAAAGUUGUUGCCUCAGAGCCAAUUGCAAUUCAAAAACUGACCUCCUUGCAUCUCAGCACACUUCAACCCACCAAACUUAAUCUGCAUCUUCAGACCAUUUCAUUGUACUUGUUUUUCCUUUUCUUUGGCCAAAUUAAAUGAGGUGAAAUUGUCUUCCUUUUGAAAAAGGGAGGGAGGGGACGUUAAACAAGAACCUCCUGAGAAAGCUAGGCAGGCUUUUCAUUCAUUCAUUUCUUAAAGUAAGGUUAAUUUAGUUUCCAGUGGGUGCCUUUUUUCUGAGCCUUGGUAGACUGAGAAACUACGUCAAGCAGGUAUUCAGGGAACACGUCAGGAAAGGAGCAAGUCUUGCUCACUGGCCACACCUCCAUGCUAACACACUUGCUGGCUACACACCCAAAGACCCUGCGUUGUUUGUUUCCAAAGGAGCAUUGAGUGUGUCCCAUCAGCACAAGGAUUUCCAGUUGCACAAUGCAUUUCCGUUCCCACAGACCCCUAAAUCUGUUGUAAGGGUUCCGCCAACCCUCUGGGGAGAACGUGGAGGAAGGAGAGGCAGGAAAGUCCCAUUGAGCAGGUAGAAAUCCUGGCUCUGACAGCACAGAUUGGUUGAAUGCCCUAUGUACAGCAUUAGUGUGAAAGGGGCCUUCUAUGCUCAGGCUCAAAUUGCUGUGAUGUAUAUGAGUAGAGCUCCUCCAUGCCAUUGGGAAUCUCAGCUAAGCAAUGUUCCGGAUUCGAUAGCGAAGCUGAAGAGAUGGGAGCAGGAUUUCACAUGAAUGUUGAAUGCGUGACUGAAGGGGCAUGGCCAAGCACUAUAAUAAUAAUAAUAAUAAUAAUAAUAAUAAUAAUAAUAAUUUAUUUAUACCCUGCCCAUCUGGCUGGGUUUCCCCAGCCACUCUGGGCGGCUCCCAACAGAAUAUUAAAAACACGAUAAAACAUCAAACAUUAAAAACUUCCCUGAACAGGGUUGCCUUCAGGUGUCUUCUAAAAGUCAGAUACCGGUAGUUGUUUAUUAUCAAGGGCGAGACAAUUAGACACAAUCCCACUAAUCCCUCACACGUUCACUGAAUGUGGGUGGUGGUGGUUCUGUGCAUAUUUAUUUGUUUGUUUCAUAUCUUAUUUCGGUUUUCUGAUUUCUGGUUUUAACCUUUUAAUACUUUUUUAUUGUAUGGUUGUAUGUAGGGUUGUCUUGAAUCACUGACAUUUCGCUUAUGAAUGAGACUUUCCUAUUCUCCCCCAAAUAAGGGUGCCACUCUGUUUCUGUGGUUGGUUUUCUGCUUUUGUUUCAGGGCUCACCCCAUGGAACAGGUAGCAGGCUGAGGACACAUUUGACAACUGUGUACACGCGGCCAAAAGAACCAAAAAGUUCUCAGUGGUUGGAGGGUAGCAACCAUCAAGCAGAAACAUAUUCAGCCUAGCAGCGCAGAACAGGAGUGCUUGAAAUUUCCAGUCCAGAAAUGCACACGUACAGAGCCCUCUUCUCGUGGAGAGAAGCCCUGCCGUGGGGCCUAGCCCCAGCUUUUUCAAAGGUUUGAAGCAGCAGAUAAUCAAUGUGAAAGUCCAAAUUGCAACAUCUUAAGCCAUCAUUUUUCCAUGUAAUGCCUCAGAAAAGUAAGGUAGGGUGGGAGGGAGGGAAGAGGAGGGAAGGGGGAAGAGAAUGUUAAAUGACAGAGAACCAGUUCAGCUUUCAAAGAAUAAGUGUAGCCCCAAGUGAAAAACCUGACAUAAAUGCAACAAGAUGGCAAAAUAAACAAAGCCUGCUAUUCUGAAGUUUCAACGGUUAUUCAUCAUUGUCAAGAGUUUCUUUACAGUAUAACCAUUACAGCAGUUCAGAAAACUGGCAGGUCAUCUCAGAUAUUAUUUCUAUAUCUUAAGGAUAUCCUUUUCAGGGAUGUGGGUGGGGGAGAGAACCCAACAAUCUAAGACCUGCACAAGGGGGGGAAAGUAUAGCAUUCAACUAUAUCGUUUCUUUUACAGAUGACUUUUAAAGAUCAAAACACCUCUAAUUAUGGCAAGUGCGAAGAAGUAAAAGAAAAAUACUGCGGUGCCUAUUGCUCCAUCCUCUGGCUGCGAGGUCCCUGUCAGAUAUUUAACGUCUAUAUGAAGCCUUUGAGUGCAAUCAUUAGGGCUAAGUCUUUAGUAUUGUAGUCCCCAUUUUAUGGGACUCCAGUUGAGGUCAGGCAGGCUCCCUCCCUGUUGAACUUCCAGCACCUACUAAAUACUGUGGUUUGGUUUUAUAGUUUGAACCGAUUUUUAUUUUUUGUAUUGCAUCUUUGUGAGCUGCUUAGAUAUCAGUUAUUUAAAUUAAAGAAGUCAUGUUGCUCAGUGUCAGGAUAAGGUUUUCCUGUACUUGAGUAAACUAAUAGAAAAAGUAAUAAUAUAUAGUGGUACCUCGGGUUAAGUACUUAAUUUGUUCCAGAGGUCCGUUCUUAACCUGAAACUGUUCUUAACCUGGAGCACCACUUUAGCUAAUGGGGCCUCCUGCUGCCACUGUGCCGCUGGAACACGAUUUCUGUUCUCAUCCUGAAGCAAAGUUCUUAACCCGAGGUACUAUUUCUGGGUUAGCAGAGUCUGUAACCUGAAGAGUCUGUAACCUGAAGCAUAUGUAACCCGAGGUACCACCGUAUUGUUAUUACUAAUUGGGUUACAACAUUUAACAUCCCACACUGUGAACUACUGUUCCAGCAGUGAUUUGGCAGCCACCGUCACAUUUGAUUGUCAGAUGCCUCUCAAAGACCUUUUUAUGUAGUUAGUCCUAUGCAACCAUGGGCAUAGCCAGGGGACAGGGGGGCAACUGCCCCCCCAUCAGGUAAAUAAAUAAAAAUACUUGACUAAAAGUAGAAACUGUAGAAAGAUUUUGACAGAUUUUUCUGAGCACUUAGGUUCAAAAGAAAAUAAUUUAAAACAUUUCAUUCCAAAUCUGCUAGAGUCAGAUGUUGAUGACAGGUGGGUGUCCUGUCCAUCCCCCCCAGUAUAAAUCCGGUCUAAGUCCAUGUAUGCAACUGUUUAGUUUCCCUGCCCCCAUCAGCCAGUCAAGUUAAUGAUCAUUUUGUACUGGUUUUAUGGUGUUUUGUACUUUAUCUAUCAUGUUGUAUUGUAUGAGCUGGCGAUACAGAAAUACUUUUUAUAAAUAAAUAAAUCAACAAAAGAAAAAUGCAAUAUUAAAAUCAGUUAAAACGAUGUUAGAAUCAGUGAGAUGCCUAGUUAUAAAUACAAAAUAAACUAGACCAAAAGAAAAAUGAAGCAACAACAAAAAGGGCAAUUUAGCAGAAUAUUUCAAGAGAGUAAGCAGGAACCACUCAACCUCAGAUUGCCCCAAAAAGCUUUCUACUGAGAAACCACCCUAACUUUAGGAGUAUCUGUAAAUUUGGACUCAUAGAUACCUACUGUAAAAUGUGGCUUAGCAAUAGAUCUAAUAAACAAACUAUAGUUUCAUGAUGUGAUAUUAUAUCUCAUUCUGGAUUUUAUCAGCAGUGACUUAGCGUAUCCGUGCAUUGAAAGAACUUAGAAAGAUAAUGGAGGUAUAUUUGAUUACUCUCACCUAUGUACUAAUACUGAUAAUAGGAACUUCCCUUAUUAUUUUGAGUUACUGAUCCAGUGUUAUUUCCCUUGCUGCAGAAAUACUUCUAGCUGAGAUCAAUCAUCUUGUUACUGGUGUACAUUCCACAGAUAGCUGCUUAUAACGUACUAUGUGAAAACUGGUAACAAUUUCCAGUAGAUUACCGAUGUGAUCAUUUACACGACCAAGCUCUUAUAUUAAACAAUGUACCUUGGACAAAUUGGGUGCGCAACCCUAAUGUAACCCUAAUGCUGAUUGAAACUAUGAUACUCCUCAAUCUCCUUUGUGUAACAGUGUAGUAUUAGUUGGGCUUGAACAGUUUGACACAUCACUAUAGAAUAGUAAACAUGUUCCUGUAUCUAGCAAUGCCUACCUUUCUAACUAAGUAACGACAGGAAAGGUAGCAAUCUGGAAAGCUAUGGGACUAGCUCUGUGUGUUCAGAAUAGCUUUGGAUGUGUAGGACUCUAUAGGUCAUAACCAGGCCAAUCUGUUUCCGGGCACAAUUUGAAGCACUGGUUAUGACCUAUAAAGUCCCACAUGGCUUAGGUCCAAGCUAUCUGAAAGACCUUAUUCCCUCGUACAAAUCUGUCCAGGUUUUAAGAUCUUUGGGGCAGGCCCUUCUCUUGGUCCCGUCACCUAUACCCUCCAACAUUUCUCCAAUGAAAAUAGGGACAUCCCAUUCCAUAAUAAUAAUGUUACUAUUUAUACCCCACCCCUCUGAAUGGGUUGCCCCAGCCACUCUGGGAGGCUUCCAACAUUAUAUUCAGGGGGGACUGGUUACAAAAAUAUACACAUUAGCCAAAACUGCAUUAAAAAAAUGUGUUUCUUCGGAGAAAUUUGCACUAAAAUGCUGAUGAAUUUUAAUAAGGAUUUUAAAAAAUACUGCAGAUUGCUGCAGUAAUGUGGAAAACUGAAUUUAAGAUUGAAAAAAAUGAGAAACAGAGAGAACUCAAACCGACAGAUUCAUGCACUGAAGAGCUAAGUAUUCAAGAGUCCUUGUGCCCUUUCCUUUCCUUUAUUUUAAUUUUAUACAAUUGUUUAUACAAUGCUAUAUCAUUUUAAAAAAUCAAAGCAAUUUAGAAGAAUAUCCAUAUAGAAUAAAAACACAUAAAAACCAAAAUCAUGGACUAUCAAAUAACUAUAAUGGAAAUAUGUAUUCUUAAUUGCCUGCAUAAGGCUGUAGUCGCACAGAAGCUAUUUCUAUUUCCCUUACUGUUAACUUGCAUGUUAUAUUUGAGCAAGUUUAGUGCUUAUUUCUGUGUUAUUUGCAAGCAGAUUGUUUUCCAGAAGCAAAUAACAUGGAAAGGAGCACUGAAUUUGCAGUAUAUUCCAUUAUAUUUCCAAAAAUGGUUUUUACAUCGUGUGAACGCUCCAAUAGUCAUCAUGUGGAAAUUAACAGUUAGGGAAACAUCGAGAAAGUGAAAUAAACUGCUGUUUGAAUGUAGUCUAAGCAUGGCAGAAUAGAAAAGCAUUCUGCAGGCAUUUAAAGGCUGAAACAGAAGGUGCCUCCUUCCACAAUGAAGCAAAAUCAGCUGAGAGAGAGAAGUCUGGAAUUUCCUAAAUGAAACAAUACUUCAAAGAUCUAAGCUUUUAAUGAAAUAAUGCUUGAGUGAGGGAAACCAUAAACAGAUAUGGUUGUGGGGCUCUGAUCCUGCAGUCAGUGACCAUUGUUGACUCAUUACCCACCACACAAAUUAAAAUUUAAAAAGAUGAAUCAUGUGUCAUAAUAUUUAUACUCCUUCAGUUACUACACUCUAGUAAUUAAACACAUAAGGUGAUCACAUGUUAUGGGCUGAUCUGUGUGUCCACUUUGAUUCAAAUGACUUAUUCAACACCGUGCAGGAAAAACUAAAUCACAUUUCACCUAAUGGUGUGAAAAGUUAAUUAUCAGUGUCAAUUAGACACUCAAGUCACUGAGUAAUUACACUGUAAUUGACAAGGGUUAAUUACUUCUAUUGUAAAUUAAACGAUGUGUGUCUUUCUGAGGAACACUGUACAGGGAGUGCCUGAACUAUUUGGUAUGAUCGAUUUUGGUUUUGUUGACUUUUUCCACAGAUUUUGAACUUUCAGUCUGUAUCGGUUGACUGUGGCCAAUCAGGUAGUCUGUUAAAUGUGAACUGAGAGUUUCUACUCCACACACCUCAAGUAAGAAAUGAAGAAACUGUUAAAUCAGCCCCCCUUUUUUUGUUUGGUUGGGUAUCUUAUCAUUAUUUCAAAGGAUGCAGAUAAUGAAACAGUGAGCCUUAUUCAGUUGCUAACAGGAAAAUGGCAACCUUGUGUUGAGAAUCUCCAGAAGAUUGGCCUUCUUACCACUGUUGUCACAUUGUGCAUCUCACCUCUACAACCAAUCAAAGAUGUGGAGCACAGGCAAGGAAAUGUACAGUUUAAUGAUGCCACAGAAGAAUGUAAAAUGAGUUUAUUGGAUCAGGCCUACCAUCCUGUUCCCACAGUGGCUGACCGGAUACCCGUUGGAAGCCUGCAAGAUGAACAUAAGCACAACAUGAGUCUGCCCAUCUGUGAUUCUCAGCAACUAGUAUUCAGAGGCAUAAUGUCUCUGACAGUGGCUAGUAGACAUUGGCAGCCUUGUCUUCUGUGAAUCUGUCUAAUCCCAUUCAUUAUUCUGAAGAUUCAUUCAUUUGUGUGCUUUUCUAAGUGGAAACAGUCCCUCCCCACCAGCGUGCUCACAAAGUUGACCGAGUGGCUUAAGGGACAAGGCCAGGCUAAACAAAGUGAAAACGACAUUUUAAACAUCAAGUCUAUUUAAAAAAACAAAACAACAAAACAACAGCAAAAAUGAAACACCCCAUAACCGUACCACAAAUAAGUAAGUGGUUCAAAAAGACAUCCAAAGAAUGGAGCGUUUUACAGGCCAUCACCUCCUCAAUGCCCGUUUUUAAAGAGGUGCUGCAGAGUGGAGUGGACUGGGUGAUGGUUUCUCUGGAGCUGUGCCCAGAAGGUAGAGGGAUCUUCACAGGCAGACCCUGGAAUGCUGCUCCUCUCCAUCAGAAGCAUUGUAGCCAGAUGCAGGCAUGGGCAGGGAUGGAGAGAGACCUCUUGGUGGAGGUCAUGUCAAGGGUAAUGUCUAUUUCCACCCUGGCUUGUUUAUUGCAUCCUGGGUGGUGGUGGUGGUGGUAGGACUUGUUAUGAUUAUGUGAUCAGCUGUGCACACAGCUAGUAGCGAAUCGUCAAGGAGUGAAUAAUAUCAGUCAAUCGUUUAACAUUAAGAUGUGGCUAGCUGGAAAAAAUAUACCACAGGUAGGCAUCAACUUCCCAAUGUGUGUGGCACGGCACAGCUGACCUGGCCCAAGGGGAGGUAGAAAAAUGUACCAAGGCAGGGAACAGAAAGAAUAGUCUUCAAGGCAUAUGGGGUCCCUCUUGUUAAUGCAGCUGGAGAUUGAUAGGCAGAAUAGCUCCCCCUCCCUUUUCUAAACAGCUUUAAGCUCUUUAAGGCCUGAUAUUUCAUUUCAGAAUCACAAGUGCUCCAUCUAGUGGUUAAUGGUUUUCUUUUGCAAACAUCAGUCGGUCUUUGUAUCUUAAUAAAAUGUUACGGCUUAUGAACUUUCUGCAAUUAUAAUUGUUGAAAUCACAGGUUUGUGGGUUGUUGUUUUUAAAAAAGAGUCAGUCUCAAGUGUGUGUGUGUGUGUGUGUGUGUGUGUGUGUGUGCACUGAGGAGGAAUGCAGUUUAGUAGUUCCAUGUUGGUGCUGCCACCAAAAUUAAGACACUGAGCUUCCUAUCAUGCUUGUUUCAUUUGGCCAACAGAAGUUGUGUUUUAUCCCAAGUAUUGUCUAGCAGGUUUUAAUGCAGCACCAUCAAUCCAAACAAGUAAGACGAUGCCCUACUGGUGGUAAUCUGAGAAGUCAGCUUGGAGUGUUUGUGUGUGUGUCAGUGAGACACUUCUGGAAACUAGGAGCUGGAUCCCAAGCAUACAGGAAAAACACUUUUGCUUGCAUAGUUGCUUCUUGGUCUGUGUGCAGAUUCAUAGCUAGUUUGUCCAUCUAUUCCUCCCCUAUAACGUAUGACUCAGGACCAUAAUACCUCAAGGACCGACUGCCUCUCCCCAUAUGAACUGACCUGGGCCCUGAGAUCAUAAUCUGAGGCCCUUCUUCAUGUGCCUCCUCCACAAGAGGUCCAGAGCAUAGCAACACAAGGAUGGGCCUUCUCUGUGGUGGCCCCCUGUUGGUGAAAUGCUCUCUCCAGAGAGGUUUGGCUGCCUCCUUCAUUACAUAUCUUCAGGCACCAGACAAAAAGGUUUCUUUGUAACCAGGCCUUUGGCUGAUUAAACAUUCUGGUAUUUUUAAAUGUUUUUGUGGGAGGGGGGUUAUUGUUUUGUUUUUGUUUUGUUUUUAUUUUUAUAUUGUGAACCACCCGGUGAUGUUUGGGGGAAGGGCGGUAUAUAAAUUUAAUUAACAAUAAUAUUAAUAGAUUCUGGCUUCAAGCUUGCCUCUCCCUUUGCACUUCCCCAUCUUGUUCCAAAUGAUCUCUCGCUGACAGUGAUUCCCUAGCAGGUGACAAACCCUGACCUGGAGAUUAAUCUCUGAUCAUCUGAUGCCUCUUGGAUACCACCCUCUGUCAGCAUCCUAGCCAAUCAAAUUUGUAAAUCAGAAUCACACAUACUGUCAUUAUCAGUUCUCUGUAGACAGUUCUGUGGACAGACAGGAUAAUUUGCGGGAUCUGCACUAACAAGGGUUUGGGAUAGUCCUGGUUUAUAGGUUGCAAAGGAAUAAUAAAGAGUAUUCGAUCCCUAGUCCUCUUGUCCAGAGGCAUGUGAAGAGGAAUUUACAAGCCUAGGACUGCAUAGUCUCAAUGUCAGUAACUCUAACCCCAGCAGACUCAAAAUGAUGACAGGCAUCUAAGAAAUAACUACCCAGGGAAAUGGUGAAAAGCCAGAGACUGUCUAACCACAAAGUAGAGAGCUGAAAACUCUAUGUAUUGCAAGCUUGGAAGUCAGAUUCUGUGCUGAUGCUCAAACAACACAUCAGAUGAUUUCUGCAGAAGCAGUCAAACAUAUGGACAAAGAUAGCGAAACUACGAGAGGCGUUUUCAGAACUUUAUUUGCUUUCUAGGUGGGGAAGGGAACACACAAACAGAACAUAUGCAAACACUGCCAUUCGGGAAGAUCAACUGCAGGAAGAGAGGUAAACUUUCCGCAGAACGGGCAACCUUUUUGAAAAGGCAAUUCAAAGUUGGAUGCAAGAACUUUUCUGCAAGCAUAUUCGAAAUGACAUCUGGUGGAAAGAGGAGCUUGAAAAUCACAAUGCUCAACUACAUAUGAGAAAUCAACGUGCCGUGCACAAAACCAGCAAUCUGCCCGCUGCAAGUGUCCUAAUGGUGCUUGAAGUAGCUCUGGGAUGGAACCGAAGUAAUUUCUCCACUGGUAUUAGUUGCCUGGGGAAAUCUGUAUAUCGACUAAUCUGGCCUUUUAUCAGUGUAGUUCAGGCAUAGGCAAACUCUGGCCCUCCAGAUGUUUGGGACUACAAUUCCCAUCAUCCCUGACCACUGGUCCUGUUAGCUAGGGGUGAUGGGAAUUGUAGUCUCAAACAUCUGGAGGGCCGGAGUUUGCCUAUGCCUGGUGUAGUUCAAGGAAGCUUAGGCAUAGUUUGGCUGUCCACAGUGAUAGGGUAAAGGCUGUCAAUAAGUGGUAGAACACAAAGCAUGAGGAAGGUCCCAGGUUCAGUUGCUGGCAUCUACAGGUGAGGCUCAGAAAGACUGCUAUUUGAAACCUGAUGAACCCCUAACCAGGCAAAGGAGAUAAUACCAAACUAGAUGGACCAACCAUCUAAUAAGGCAGCGUCUUAUUUUCUAGCUUAGACACACCACGAAGAUUUGCUUCUUUUCCCUUCUGGGGUACCCAACAGCCCGUAUAGAGUCCUUAAGUAGUUUCCCUAUUGGAAGGCGAAAAUAACAGAGGCCAACCAGAGUAUAUUGACAAGCAAAGCAGCUAGUAAGCCUGAUCUUUAUUAAACUGUUGCAACAGGGCCCUCACUCACCACACACAGGAGGGAGGAGGAACCCAGAACAAUGGUGUGCAAGCCCUUAUAGACAUUUGAAACUGCCCACUCUGUAGCUCAAGACCACCCCAAAAAACAUCAUACUUACAUCACAGAAGGAGGUGGUCUCCAACAGAAAUCCUGCUUGUCAGGAUACCUGGUAAUGGUCACUGAUUGCUUUACCUGGGCAGCCUGGCCAUUCCGUUUGAGAUGCUAAAUACUUAGUUCCUGAAUCCAGGCUCAUCCUAUUCAUGCACAAAUAUGCCCUUAAGACAGGAUUUGUGAGUAAAGAGACAAUGGGGAAGCUUCCUCACUGCAGAGGAAUAUUUGAGGUCACUGAGAGACUGAAAGAGUCAAAAUGGCUUCAGGGUUGCUCUCCCAUACUAUUUCAGACAUGUGGUUUAUAUACUUAUGUAUGUGUUUACCUUGUACAUUUAUGAACAUUUAAUUUAUAUAUAUAUAAGACCUUAGAAUUCCUAUAACACAACUAAGGUCCUUUUAACUGUAUGGACACAGUGGUCAAGAGAACAUCCUAUAUGGGCUAUACGAGACUCAUUUUCAAUUGCUGGUUAUUAUUGGGUUUGCCUUUGAUAGGAGGAUGCAUCUAGAAUCAGAGAUGGGAGGUAGAGCCAACUAGUCUAGCUCUGAGCUUGAUGACAGAGCUAGAGCAGAUUCUGGUCCAGCCUCUGUCUGAAGACCCUCAACGAAGGACAGGACACCAGCCCCCCAAAGCAUUUGUCAAACUGAACUUCCUGUUAAGAAGUUUCUUCUACUGUUUGGCUACUGUCUUGUACGUAAAUGGCUCCGACACCCCCAGAAGACAAACAGAUAGAAGUGUAGUAAAUUUACUGACUAAGCUAUGUUGCAUUAAAUACGUAUUAUCUGUUACACCACCUGAUUCCUGAAGUGGUGUCAGAAAAUAUAUUUCACCACUUUGCUUCAAGCCUAUUGAUUACUGUUCCAACUUUAUUUUCUUAGUUUGGGUGUCAUUUUUACUUAGCUUGGGGUUUCUUUCUCCUUCAUAGAGUUAUCCCAGCCAAUCAGCAGUAUAUAUACAGUGGUACCUCGGGUUACAUACGCUUCAGGUUACAUACACUUCAGGUUACAGACUCCGCUAACCCAGAAAUAUUACCUCAGGUUAAGAACUUUGCUUCAGGAUGAGAACAGAAAUCGUGCAGUGGCGGCGCAGCGGCAGCAGGAGGCCCCAUUAGCUAAAGUGGUGCUUCAGGUUAAGAACAGUUUCAGGUUAAGAACGGACCUCCGGAACAAAUUAAGUACUUAACCUGAGGUACCACUGUAUAUAUAUGAUGACAUCACGGUGCUAUGUAGCCAUUCAGAUUUGGCCAUGUGAUGUCACUAACGACAAGUGAAGUUAAUUGAGUAAGAAAGCAGAUUGUCCAUAUGGAGGAUCCAGACACUUAGAUGACUUGUUGUCGUCAUUCUGUACAACAUUUUCAUCUUUUAAUGCAGGCCUGAAAAUAUUACUUAAAAAGUGGGGUGCUGUUUCAUGCUGCUGAGAACAUUUAUGAAAAGUGAAUCCUUCUCGCGCUGUCCCUAUUUAACUGGCCCACUGAUGGUGCCCCAGAUGUCUCAUCAUAGCAUCUAACUGGAUUCAGAUUAGAGCGCCAUCAAACAGCACUCACUGUUGCUGAGAUUUGCAGCGUCUCUUUCCAUUCCCUGGACACUAGAACUAGGAUCAUGUCAGAAUAUGGGCUAAACAGAAGGGAAUUUGUUUGAUGCCUCGCCUGUGGACCGCUGCAAGACUGCUUACAAAUUUACUAGUCACUAAGAAAUUGGUAAGCAACGUUAGAAAACGUCUAAGUAGGGACCAGAGAGACUGUCUGACGAGUUCCUGUGAAAAUAAAUGAUCUUGCAGUUAUCAUAAGCUCCUUAUUAACAAAGUCCCGGGAGUACAAAAGAAGAGAAAAAAACACAUGGCCUGUUACAUUGGUAAGCCUGCUAAGUGAAUAAGCAGCAAAAAUUCUCACUGAACAGGCUGCUUACACUGAUUUAGUUCAAUUAGGUUCAGCAGGAUUACACCAGUGCAAGGUGUUUGGGAAUAUCCCUGGGGGUGCACAUCUUUACUGAACCAACUUGAAAGGUUCAGGUUAGACACAGCAAUUUUGAAAGCAUCCCUGCAAAGUUCAUCUGCCAAAACUUCAACAAGCCUGCCUCAGUAGCGUACCGAGGUCUUUUCAAUAUGUCAGAGGCGAGAUUUGCCGAUAACCCAGAAAACCUACAUUUCCCCGCUACUUUAAAUGGAGAUCUUGCCUUUUGUAAAUCUAAUGGAAUGUGGAGGACCUUAAAAUAUUGAUUUACUGACAGUUGUUGAAAAGAGCAAGCAAGAGAUGAAAAUCUGUUGUUUAUUUCCACUACUGGUUGCAUAUUAUUUUUUAAAAUAAAAAUGUUAUUUCAGAAAUUAUGAGGGUGGGGGCGGAAAAUGAAAGAAGAAUCUUAAAACAUCUGAUUGUAUGUGUGUUUUCCUUUUGAUAUAACACCAGAGAGGGCCAAACCAUAUGUUGUUUCCUCAUGUUUCUAGCUGGAGGCAUUGGCAAAGAGUUAAUAGGCACUCCUCCCAAGGUCAGUCAAACACAUUUUGCUACCUGUGAUGGAACAGCAAAUGGUGCCCACCUUCAAGCCAAGGUGCCUAUUGAAAUUAUCUUUUCCAUCUGGCUGCCUCAACUGUUACAUCCAAGCAGGUCACUAUAAGAACUGAUGCAUGAGCUUGCUUUAUUCCUCCUCCCUCUCCAUCCUCCCCGCCCCCUUGUGUCGUGCCAUGGUCAGAUCACUUCCUGGUGCAACUGGACUUCUCUGCGACCCAUCCCUUCUGCAGGGAGGUGGGACCAAUUUGGAUGGUCCGCCCCCGCCACUUAAUGGAUCCAAAUGGUCUCCAGAGAGUGGUAGGGGAUGCUUUAUCCCAUGUUGAUGGCCUUUCAGCUGAUUCCCUGGUGGCCCGCUGGAAUAUGGAGUUAACCAGGGCUAUUGACUGUUUGGCUCCGAAGCGCCCUCUCCGAUUGCAUGGAGCCCGGACAGCCCCGUGGUUUUCCACGGAUCUGAGGGCAAUGAAACAAUUGUUGAGAUGGCUAGAGCGCCGGUGGCGGAUAACUCAUUCCAAAUCUGACCGGACACAGGUUAGAGCUCAACGUCGAGCCUACCAAGUGGCGAUAGCGACGGCGAAGAAGACUUUCUUCGCCGCCUCUAUUGCAUCUGCAGAAAACAGCAGCAGGAGACUUUUUCAGGUGGUUCACAAUUUAGCAGAACCACCUGCGACAUCUGGGCCCAGUACGGGCCACAUGAUCUCCUGCAAUGAUUUUGCAAAGUUUUGUGCAGAUAAAAUCGCUCAGAUUCGGGAAGAAGUAGACUCCACCGUGGGAGCAGGGCCAGAGCGGGAGAGUGCUAGAGUCCUGUCUAGUCAAGUUGCGUGGGAUCAAUUCCAACCUGUUACCUCCGAGGAUGUGGACAGGCUGCUUGGACGAGUGAAGCCAACCACCUGUCUCCUGGAUCCUUGCCCAUCCUGGCUUAUAAAAGCUAGCCGGGAAGGACUGGGCGAUGGGCUUCGUGGGGUGGUGAAUGCUUCCCUCCGUGAGGGAGCCUUCCCAGACCCACUGAAAGAGGCGGUUAUUAAACCGCUUCUUAAAAAACCAUCUUUAGAUGCGGCCACGAUGGUCAAUUAUCGCCCAGUCUCAAAUCCUCCAUUCUUGGGCAAGGUGAUUGAGCGAGUGGUUGCUGAACAACUCCAGGCACGCCUGGAAGAAGCGGACCAUUUGGAUCCCUUCCAGUCGGGAUUCAGGCCUCAUCAUGGGACUGAAACUGCCUUGGUCGCACUGGUUGAUGAUCUCCGGCGGGCUAGGGACAAAGGUGAGAGCUGUUUCCUAGUUCUGCUGGAUCUCUCAGCGGCGUUUGAUACCAUCGACCAUAACAUCCUUCUGGACCGUCUUGAGGGGCUAGGAGCUGGGGGCACUGUCAUACAGUGGUUCCGCUCCUUCCUCCUGGGCCGUGUUCAGAAAGUGGUGGUGGGGAUGAGUGUUCAGACCCCUGGGCUCUCACUUGUGGGGUGCCUCAGGGUUCUGUCCUCUCCCCAUGCUUUUCAACAUUUACAUGCAGCCACUGGGAGAGAUCAUCAGGAGGUUUGGGCUGGGUGUUCAUCAGUAUGCGGAUGAUACCCAGCUCUACCUCUCUUUAAAUCAGAACCAGUGAAGGCGGUGAAGGUCCUGUGUGAGUGUCUGGAGGCGGUUGGAGGAUGGAUGGCGGCUAACAGAUUGAGGUUGAAUCCUGACAAGACAGAAGUACUGUUUUGGGGGACAGGAGGCGGGCAGGUGUGGAGGAUUCCCUGGUCCUGAAUGGGGUAACUGUGCCCCUGAAGGACCAGGUGCGCAGCCUGGGAGUCAUUUUGGACUCACAGCUGUCCAUGGAGGCACAGGUCAAAUCUGUAUCCAGGGCAGCUGUUUACCAGCUCCAUCUGGUACGUAGGCUGAGACCCUAUCUGCCUGCAGACUGUCUCGCCAGAGUGGUGCAUGCUCUGGUUAUCUCCCGCUUGGACUACUGCAAUGCGCUCUACGUGGGGCUACCUUUGAAGGUGACCCGGAAACUACAACUAAUCCAGAAUGCGGCAGCUAGACUGGUGACUGGGAGCGGCCGCAGAGACCAUAUAACACCGGUCUUGAAAGACCUACAUUGGCUCCCAGUACGUUUCUGAGCACAAUUCAAAGUGUUGGUGCUGACCUUUAAAGCCCUAAACGGCCUCGGUCCAGUAUAUCUGAAGGAGCGUCUCCACCCCCAUCGCUCUGCCCGGACGCUGAGGUCCAGUUCCGAGGGCCUUCUGGCGGUUCCCUCACUGCGAGAGGCCAAGUUACAGGGAACCAGGCAGAGGGCCUUCUCGGUAGUGGCGCCCGCCCUGUGGAACGCCCUCCCAUCAGAUGUCAAAGCGAUAAACAACUACCUGACAUUCAGAAGACAUCUGAAGGCAGCCCUGUUCAGGGAAGUUUUUAAUAUGUGACAUUUUAGUGUAUUUUUCAUCUUUGUUGGAAGCCGCCCAGAGUGGCUGGGGAAACCCAGCCAGAUGGGCGGGGUACAAAUAAAAAAUUAUUAUUAUUAUUAUUAUUAUUAUUAUUAUUAUUAUUUUAUAGUGGGGUAGGAGAGCUGAAAAUAAUGCCAAUAUACUUCACACCUGGCAACCCAUGCACCCCUUUGGUUUCAGAUAGUACAUGAGUAAAAAGGUAAAGGUACCCCUGACCAUUAGUUCCAGUCGUGACCGACUCUGGGGUUGUGCGCUCAUCUCACUCUAUAGGCCGAGGGAGCCAGCGUUUGUCUGCAGCAUUUGUCUGGUCAUGUGGCCAGCAUGACUAAGCCGCUUCUAGCGAACCAGAGCAGCACAUGGAAACGCCGUUUUACCUUCCCGCCGGAGCAGUACCUAUUUUUCUACUUGCACUUUGACAUGCUUUCGAACUGCUAGGUGGGCAGGAGCAGGGACCGAGCAAUGGGAGCUCACCCCGUCAUGGGGAUUCGAACCGCCGACCUUCUGAUCGGCAAGUCCUAGGCUCUGUGGUUUAACCCACAGCGCCACCUGCGUCCCAUUAGUACAUGGGUAGACGAGUCUAAAAAGCCCUGGGCACAAAUGUAUGUACAGUGGUACCUCGGGUUAAGAACUUAAUUCGUUCUGGCAGUCCGUUCUUAACCUGAAACUGUUCUUAACCUGAGAUACCACUUUAGAUAAUGGGGCCUCCUGCUGUAGCCACGCCGCCACUGCGCAAUUUCUGUUGUCACCCUGAGGUAAAGUUCUUAUCCCGAGGUAUUAUUUCUGGGUUAGCGGAGUCUGUAACCUGAAGCGUAUGUAACCUGAAGCGUCUAUAACCCAAGGUACCACUGUACUGUAUUUUUCCGUCUAUAAGAUGCCCCCAUGUAUAACAUGCCCCCUAUUUUUGGGGACUCCGAUUUAAGAAAAUGGGGGGAGAUGGCUCCCAUGUCUAAGAUGCCCCCAAAUUUUAAACAUUAAUUUUUAGGGAAAAACCCUAGUCUUAUACACAGGGAAAUAUGGCAUAUUUUGCUCUAGGCGGCUGCAGAAUCGAGUUUACACUUCCAGAGUUAAUGCUAAAUACAUUACUUCUGGUAAAUGAGCCACCAUAGCCGCUAGAGGGCCAUGAAAAUUUUUGUCCCAGGCUUUUUAGACUCGUCUACCCAUGUACUAUCUGAAACCAAAGGGUAAGGUAAAGGUAAAGGUAAAGGUAAAAGGUAAAGGACCCCUGGACGGUUAAGUCCAGUCAAAGGUGACUAUGGGGUUGCAGCGCUCAUCUCACUUUCAGGCCAAGGAAGCCGGCGUUUGUCCAUAGACAGCUUUCCGGGUCAUGUGGCCAGCAUGACUAAAUCGCUUCUGGUGCAACGGAACACCAUGACGGAAGCCAGAGCACACAGAAACACUGUUUACCUUCCCGCCACAGCAGUACCUAUUUAUCUACUUGCACUGGCGUGCUUUCAAACUGCUAGGUUGGCACGAGCUGGAACAGAGCAAUGGAGGCUCUCUCCAUUGCGGGGAUUUGAACCGCCGACCUUCCAAUCGGUAAGCCCAGAGGCGCAGUGGUUUAGACCACAGCACCACCCGCGUCCCUUGAAACCAAAGGGUCUCAUGCGUUGCCAGAUGCAAUUCCCCGCCCCUGGCCGCUCUCCUACUGCACUGUUAGAUUGUAAGCUUGGAGGCAAGGAUCGUCUUACCACUGAUCUUUGUAACCCACUCAGGAUGCUCCCGCCCCCAACCAAAAGAGCAGGGUAAAAAAUAAAAAAAACUGCAACAAACAAACAAACAAAUAACAACUGUGUCAAUAUUUUAUUGCUGUUAGGUACCUGAACAAAAAAUUAAUAAUAGAUAAAAACAGCAGCAGCUAUCUUUAGCUGUAAACAGUAAAAAAAACCUGUCCAAGUCAGGGUGGUUGAUGGCCCACGACCUGUUUGCGGGUUAGCAUCCUUUAAUGUUUGAUAGGCAGGUCGUACAGCUCACCUGUGUUAGUUUUAGGUGCAGAGGCCCAACAGCAACACAGCUGAUUCGUGUGGACCCAAGCAUGCUAAGAUCAGAGAUCUGAAACAUAAGAUCCCUAUGCAUUCUUGGAUCAUAAUAUGUGGGGUUCUUAAUUUGCUGGAACCAUGCAUGAAGACAGCAUCUCUGGAGCAAGAAUUUGUGCUCAAAAUUAUUAUUCAUGAACAAUCUGCAUCACCGUGAACGCUCCAUGCAGAUAGCUACAGUUACCUUUUCUUGUUCAACAGAAACUCAGCGUUACACUAAAUGUCAAAAGAAUUGGUUGGAAAUACUCAUGAACCAGAAUUCAUAGGCUUCGCACAACAGUCUUUUUUUUCUUUCUUUCCUAGUAAUGAGGUCUCUUGCUUUAGAGUCAGUUUCAGAUAAUGGAAUCUGAUCCGUUCUAGGAAUUUUGCCUGAAACCAGAGACUUAAAAAUAUCCCAGUGCCCGGCUGCCAGAUUUCAUGACAGUUAUUAUGCUUUUAGAAAUCUACAAAAGAAAAAUGAAAUCCACAGGGAACACAAGUUUACUCUGACAUUUGUCAACAUUUGGUGGACCAGGAAAAUUAACACAAGACCUAGCAAUGUGAUAUGCCAAGUCAUUAUGAUACAUCAGAUGUAAUAGUUACCAAUUAUCAUAGCAUCCCAGGUUCACCGUGAUACUGCAAGGAGCUGCCACGGGCUGCAGUGUAAAUCCUGCAUUAUAAGGAAAUUAAAAGCUAAAUUAAAAGAUGUCACCCCAAACCCUCGUUAUCUGACUACAUUGUUCCGCUCCCGCACCUCGUAGGCUCAUUUCCAGAUAAGCAUAGUAAUGAAAUCCUAUUAUUAGAGCUUGUCUUUGUCAUGCUCUAGUUCAGGGAUCUCCCACGAAGUUGUUGGGAAUCCAGUUACCAUCAGUCCCAGGCGGCAUGGCCAAUGGUGAGGAAUGAAGGGAGGGAUGUCUGAGAAGUGGGAUCACACCAAAAACCUGAUACCAAUAGUUUUUCUAAGAUUCCUUCUUUCCACUCUCGCCAUGUUGCUUAUAAUGUGAUAAAACUAUAUUGUGUCACACACACACACACACACACACACACUCUCUCAAAACUGAGCCUCCACAAUCUCUUUAGCGUUUCUUUAUAAGGAAAGUACAGUCGUAUUUUGGAAGUCAAUCAGAAUCCGUUCCAGAAGUCCGUUCAAAUUCCAAAAUGUUUGGAAACCAAAGUGCGGCUUCUGAUUGGCUGCAGGAAGCUCCUGCAGCCAAUCAGAAGCCAUGGAAGCCCUGUUGGACGUUCAGGUUCCAAAGAACGUUAGCAAACCGGAACACUCACUUCUGAGUUUGUGGCGUUCUGAGUACCAAGGCGUUUGGGGUCUAAGGUACGCCUGUAUCCUAAAACCUUCAGCUUCUCCUCUUUGUCCUCUUCUCCAUCUCCUUCUGCUCUGUGGAAUGUGUCUUGAAAUGGGGCAACUAAAUCUGGACACUUCACACUACGGAAGUAUGGAACUGAGACAAUAGGAAGGUACCAUCAUUCAAUAUACCCUAAGUCUGAAAGGAUUUCUACAAUACACUGAAUUAGUUGAAUUGCCUGAGGCAAAUGGUCAGAUCACAAUCCAUGUGGUUCUGUGAAUAAAUGCCUUAGAAGAUCUGGUUCAAAAAGUUAACCCACUGCCUUAAUUGUAUAGCCCAGAUCAACCGAAACCAGGGCUUUUUUUUUUCAGCCGGAACUUGAGGAAACUCAGUACUAGCACCUCUCAUUUGGGCACCAUUGCCAUUGUAAGAGAUUAAGGGAGGUUUUCAUGGUGAGUUCUGGCACCUCUUUUUCUAGAAAAAUAGCAAUGACCGAAACAACAUCUGUCUCCAAGUUAGACUGUACUGUACUCCCCCACCCCGGAAAAUCAGAUAGUUUAUUUACAGUUCUAGCUAGAAAAUCCAUAUAAACUUUGGUGCCCCCGCCCCCCAUACAGUGGAACAAUUAAGAAACAUUGCACAUAGUAAAAUAUGUAUACAGUAAACACAUGGACCUGAUCCACAGAUGCAGCACCCAUGGAGAAUGCAGCCCACUGGUGCUGUACCUGAAGUACAAGUGGAGAGGGAUAUAUACAAUAAAUACUCUCUUUUGACUUAAAAACUGGACAGGGAAAGGAAUAUUCCAAGUUUUAAAAUCCCACGAACCAUGUGAGAUGAAAAGAUGUGCUCUGAUGUCUUAGACUCACUUGGUUACUACAUGGGAAUCAUGUGAUUCACAGGCAAUAACUUUUUGGGUUGGCUGCAGGAAGAGUUGUUUCCUCUUUUGGGGAGGUUGGGCUGUAGUUAUUUUGCAUAUAUGGAGAGGGGGAUCUGAACAUCACAAUUUUUUAAUUUUAUGAACUUUUGUUUGUCUGUUUCUUCAUGUUCAUAUUUUUAAUCAAGGCUAGGCAUCAGAUUGUGCCUGUUCUACUGUACUGUGUCCUUAAGGUGGCCCAUCUCACAGUUUGAGAACCUUAGUAUUCCAAAUGGUAAUGCUAGUGGACAACAAAAGUGGUUUAAAUAUGCUCUCAAGGCAAAUCUUUAAAAAUGCAAUAUAAACACUGACAACUGGGAAUCAUUGGCCUGCGAGCGCUCCAAUUGGAGAACAGCCUUAACCAAAGACAUCAUGGACUUUGAAGAAGCACAAACUCAGGACGAAAGGGAGAAGCAAGCAAAGAAGGCAUGUUUGGCAAAUCCUCACUGUGAUCAACUCCCACCCAGAAACCUACGUUCCCACUGUGGAAGGAUGUGCAGAUCCAGAACUGGCCUCCACAGUCACUUAUGGACACACUGUUAAGAACACAUUCAUGGAAGACAAUCUUACUCAGCUAUGAGUGAUUGCCGAAGAAGAAGAAGAAGAAGAAGAAGAAGAAGAAGAAGAAGAAGAACAACAACAACAACAACAACAACAACAACAGUGGUACCUCGGGUUACAUACGCUUCAGGUUACAUACGCUUCAGGUUACAUACGCUUCAGGUUAUUCUGCUAACCCAGAAACAGUACCUUGGGUUAAGAACUUUGCUUCAGGAUGAAGCCCCAUCAGCAGGAGGCCCCAUUAGCUAAAGUGGUGCUUCAGGUUAAGAAGGGACCUCCAGAAUGAAUUAAGUACGUAACCAGAGGUACCACUGUAAUAUGUUUUAGACUGAGAAUGACUGGUACUCCAUCGAGUUCUACACUGUGGGACCAAGAGCAAACCAGAGAAAUUGUCAUGGGCACACACCACGAACUAUUCUAUUUGCUGCAACAAAAUGCUUCUUUCAGGUCAAAUUUCAACAGGGAGCUUUGGGGAACCUGCAGUCUCCAAGGCACAUUUGCAUCUGCACUUGUGGAUGCCACAUUGAUAACUCUUGAACUACCACUUCUCCCAAAACUCUCAAGAGUAGUCAACAUCUUAAAUAAUACAGGCUUUGUA
This is a non-coding RNA of Podarcis lilfordi (Lilford's wall lizard), 75468 nucleotides long. The record is from the annotation of a GenBank genome assembly. NCBI's taxonomy places the organism in Eukaryota, Metazoa, Chordata, Lepidosauria, Squamata, Lacertidae.